AAAAAUAUCUAAGAGCCUCCAAUGGAUAAUACCCAAAUAACCUGGUAUGCCAUGCAAGCUUGAAACAGCUGUGGGAAGACUGGCCCAUGGUGGUGGCACUAAGGUGGUGGCAGCUUGGCAUAGGAGCUAGUGACAAGGAGUGGUGGACUAUAGAGGUAGGGCAAGAGACAAAGAGACAACUAUAAACCUCUUCUUAGUGAUUUCUGUACAAUCUAUGAAAUAAGCAAUAAAACUAAGCUGCUACAUAGACAGUCGCGAACAAGAUAAAUGAAAUGUUCUUCCCAAGGAUCAAGGUUCACUUACAUACAUUCUCACUACACAAAUGGAUAUGCUCUAAGUGCUGUGCAGUAGCUACGUGCUAGCUCUGCCUUUUCCCACUCUUCUACUAUCAGUGGCAAGGAUAAUCAACUCUCUUCCUCAUGCAAACUAUGAUGGUCUGAUGACGGCAAUGAUUAAGCUUUUCACCGUGGCUACCAUUAAGACCACUUAAGUUCAUAUGACAAUGCAAACAUGUGAAAUAAGAACACACUGAUAUAGAACUUAAUAGAAUUAAUGAUCAUAAUCAUAAGUGUAUGUAGCAGUAAAAUAUAGAGACCCCCCUUUCAUCCCAGGGUAGUUUUGCAAAAUUGUAAACCCUCUUUCCAUAGACAACCAAGAUAUGUGCUAUGUGAAUCUAUGUCGAUCAGGACUUCAUGUGGACGAAUUGUUUCGGGAACACAAGAUAUAUGACAAGGGCUGCGAAUGGGCUUGUAGCCUAGUGGUUGCAGAGACCUUAGUAGCACCCCAGGUCCUGGGUUCGAAUCCCCAUUCCUUGGUCGACAUGGGUGAACUGACAUGUGGUGGGCGGGUCCUCGUGUAAGGGGUUGGUCGUGUGAGUUGGGCCUCAAAGCACAGGUCAAGGCUCGAACCACAGGGGGCGGCAUCUCAUGUAUGAGGAGGCUAGCUUUCGUGACUUUUCUCGGUCGGGCUCCGAUUGAGCUCUUCUUAAUGUAAUACCGUGGGGCGGUCUUUCUCCCAACAGCCGAGUUUAUAUAUAUAUAUAUAUAUAUAUAUAUAUAUAUAUAUAUAUAUAUAUAUGUCAAGGGCUUUCAUCUUUGGGUUUGGGUAAUUGAAUCGGGCUUUGGGUUUGCCAACCAACAGGGACUUGGGACAAUUGGCCUGACCCCUGUAUGGGUCUUCUUGUGCUCAUCUUCCUCAUGCAGGCUCCUAGAAAUGUUCCAAGUGCAGGCCCAAAUCAAGAUUUGUACAAAAACUGCCAAUAUAUGUUGUAUUUUAGGCGCCAAGUGGCCUGAUAAUAUAUGGAUUAGUCCAAAAAUACCGCUAAAUGAGUACUAAAAGUUUCCAUUAUCAAAAGUUCCCCUUAUUAAUGAGGGGCAACAACACUUCCCCCAUCAGUUUUCUAAUUUUUGUUCUCCCUUUUUUCUUUCAAAGGCAAACUCUAUUGCGGCCAAUGUGCAUGAUCUCUUCAGGACCAAUAUAGUUCACAUUGCUCCUCAAGCUUCUCCAUCUUAUAUUUCAGUAUCUCUGCAUGACCUUUGUUAUUAUGUGCAUUCAACUUCCAUUUUCCACAUUCCUAUAGGGGUUGCUUUGUGCAUUUUAUUCUCUUCAUGAGGUCUCCCAAAAAAAAAUCUACUGCAGUUUCAAAUGUCAGUUGCCACCUCUUGUAUGGCAUCACUCAUGUUCCCUAACCUAGCCUCCAUCAUCAACUUCCAUGCAUUAUCCACAAUUUUUUCACAGUUCCGUGUACCCAGCCAACCUCAAAGCAGAAGGACAGCCUCCCUUGAAAUUAUCUCGAUCAUCUCUUCUUCCACAUCUAUAAAAUGGAUAAUUGAUUAACUUGUCUAUGAUCUGAGUGCCUCGAGACACCAUUGACCACUCGGAAAUCGGGACCUCCAUGUAGAAUGAACAAUGCAGCUCGAUAUCGAGCUGCUCGCAUGCGUAGUGAUCACUCAAGUGGCUAUUAGGAUUCGUGAAACAUAUGAGAGACAAAGGAUAUGAUUGGAUAACUGGAGUUAAAAUAUAUCCAGUUAGAACUGAAAGAUGAACUGAGCUAGAUAUUGAAGAUUAGCUCAAAGAGGAACAUCUCGAUCUCAGACUGAGAUUAAACCCAACCUGAGAGAGGAAUAAAGUUAGAGAAUAGAGAUAGCAUUGGAAAAUGUAUGAGGACUUGUCGUUUAACUCUGAACGGAGUUUAAGUUGAGCAAAUAGAUUUAAGAAUAAUGGUUUAAAUUAUGAAGUGAGUUCAAACUUAAACUGGCACAAAUCAAGGAAGCUGAAACAAGAACACGAGUGUUGAAAACAUUUUAAAACACAAAAUAGUUUGCCCAUUUUGAAGUUAGUAUAAGAAAGAAAAAGUUGACAAAGUUUUAAAAUGGUUACAAGCAAUUUAAUAAAAAAAUCUCAAAAUUUUGAGAUUUUUAAAUUCUGAAAAUACGAUGUUUUAUGAAAAACAUCCUCGCAGAAAAGAUAAAAGUGAUUUCUUUUACUGUCUCAUCUCUAACAUAUAUGUUCUCCUCUUUUCUUGACAGCUACCUGCUCUUAAUUGAUGACAUAUGGUCUGCAAAAACAUGGGGGGACAUCAGAAAUUGUUUGCCUGUAGAGAACAAAAAAUGCAGUAGAAUAAUAGUGACUUCAAGAUUUCAAGCUGUUGGUGCAGCGUGCUCACCAGUUGGCACAACUAAUCUUCUGCAUACAGUUGAUUUUCUCAAUGCUGUUGAGUCCAAGAAUUUGUUCAAGCAAAGUGUCUAUGAAUCAAAAAGCAGCAAAGAAAGCGAAAAGGUACAGGACAAAGUCCCAGAGGAGAUAUUGAAAAUAUGUGGAGGGCUGCCAUUGGCCAUAGUCAGCAUGGCUGGUCUUGUAGCCUGCAACCCAAGCAAGGCCAGUAAUCACUGGGAUAAGGUUUGCAAAUCAUUGUUUCCGGAGAGUGUGACUGCUCUCUCCUUGGAUGGGGUUACAAGGAUACUCGAUUUCUGUUACAAUGAUUUGCCAGGAGAUCUCAAGACCUGUGCACUGUACUUGAGCAUGUUUCCAAAAGGUUCCAAAAUUAGUAUGAAGCGUUUGACUCGGCGAUUGACAGCUGAAGGUUUUGUUAGUGAGAAGCAAGGGCUCACGGAGGAGGAAGUUGCAGAGACAUACUUUAAUCAGCUCAUGAGAAGGAAAUUAAUACGUCCUGUGGAGCACAACAGCAAUGGAAAAGUAAAAACAUUUCUAGUUCAUGACAUGGUUCUUGAAUACAUUGUUUCCAAAUCAAGUGAAGAGAACUUUAUUACUGUGGUUGGCGGCCACUGGAUGAUGCCACCACCCAGCAACAAAGUACGUCGACUCUCUAUGCAAAGCAGUGGUUCCAAGCAUGAAAAUAUGACAAAAAACAUAAACUUGUCUCAAGUGCGGUCAGUGACUGUUUUUGGAAGCCUGAAGCAAUUGCCUUUCCAUUCAUUCAAUAAUGGAAUAAUACAAGUGCUAGAUCUUGAGGGUUGGAAGGGUUUGAAAGAGAAACAUCUGAAGAAACAUAUAUGCAAAAUGCUUGUGUUGAAGUAUCUAAGCCUUCGAAGAACAGAGAUUGCAAAAAUCCCCAAGAAGAUUGGGAAAUUGGAGUAUCUUGAAACUCUUGACAUAAGGGAGACACAUGUUGAGGAGCUACCAAAAUCUGUAGAGAAGCUAAAACGGAUCAGUAGCAUACUUGGUGGCAAUAAAAACCCACGGAAGGGCUUGAGGUUGCCUCAAGAAAAAAUUAAGGAACCAAAGGAAAGUACAUCGGCUCAGGAAAAAAGCGAGGACGACACAGUUACAAGUAUGUCCACGCAAGAGAAAAAUAAGGAGGGAAUGAAAGCACUCCGUGUACUAUCAGGGAUUGAGAUUGUUGGGGAAUCAACAGCUGUUGAUGGCCUUCAUCAGAUGAUAGGGCUAAAAAAGCUUGCUAUUUACAAGCUCCAUAUAAAGAAAGAUGAUAAAAUCUUCACACAACUACUUUCCGCUAUUACGUACCUUUUCAGCUGUGGUCUGCAAACUCUGGCAAUCAACGAUGAAGGUUCUGAUUUUAUCAACUCACUGGACUCCAUGUCCUCACCUCCAAGGUACCUCAUCGCCCUUGAACUGUCUGGGAUGUUGGAAAAGCCCCCAAUGUGGAUAUCCAAACUCCACACCCUCAGCAAGUUAACGCUAUCUCUGACAGUUCUCCGGACUGAUACAUUCAAGCUCCUCCAGGACCUGCCAUCACUGUUUUCUCUCACAUUUUCACUUAGUGCAGCAAAGCAGAAUCAGGACAUAAUAAAGGACAUCCUCGAGAAGAAUAAAUCAGAUUCUGAUGGGGAGAUCUUUGUUCCAGCAGGAUUCCCGAGUCUUAAGCUGCUACGCUUCUUUGCACCCCUUGUGCCAAAGCUGGGAUUUGGUGACAAUGCAAUGCCAGCAUUAGAGAUGAUUCAGGCGCGGUUUGAAGCCUUUGAAGGUUUAUUUGGCAUCGACACAUUAGAAAACCUCCGGGAGGUGCACCUCAGAGUUAAUGGCCUAGCUGCGGAAUUAAAAGAAAGUGAUGAAGCAGGAACACAAGAAACAGAAACCCCUAAAAUAAAAGAAAAAGAAAGGAAGGAAGCUGCUGAAAUCACCAGGUUCUUGGUCGAAGAUUUGAAGAACUACACUACUGAUAAGCUGAAGGUAAUUGUUGACUAUAUCAUCAAUGCUUGAAAUUGCAAAAUAAUUUGGUUGUUGUUUGCUAAAUAAAUAGGGAUGGCAGGUAUAUCCAUCCCAUGGUACUGUGUAUUUUUAUUUCAUUGUCAAUUGAUUAGUGUUUCGUUCUGUCAUGUAUGGCUGGAGCUCCUAGAUACACCGUUUCAGUGUUUGUUGGGGUUGUAAUAAAAGGGGAUAUCCCAAAGGAACUAUUGUAAUCUUUAUGUUGUCUUGUACACUAUUUGCUAUUGCUACUAUUGAACUAAGGUAUUAGUUUACUCUGAUGAACUGAUGUACUUCCUGAAAGAUUGCUUGCACUACUUGAAAAAAAAGGACGUCUAGUACCGGUCAGUAACCCCCCUAGCCUCUAGUACCGGAUGUGCAACCGGUACUGACAAAUUGGUACUAGAGGGGGCCUUUAGUACCGGUUCAAAUAAUUGGUACUAAAUGGUAACCUUUAGUACCGGUUCAAAUAAUCGGUACUAAAUGGUAACCUUUAGUACCGGUUGGUCAUCCCCAACCUGUGCGCACACGGACGGUGCCUCCACUCCUGUCGAAACAGUAGCUGGUAGACUGCGACGGUUACACGGCUAUACCUGUCACUGGAUUUGCAUUAUCCAUAGACGAUUUGAACUAUUUUAUCCUUAGACUCUAUUGGACUACUGCAUCAUGCAGGCUGUGGCGCAGCAGCCCGUCGCGGUCACCAUCGAUGCCAGCGACCCCUGUUUCCAGCAUUACUACUGCGCCGUGUACGACGGAAGGUGCUUCUGGAACGACGUCUACAUCGGCGGGGUGUGCCGGACGGCGCCGAUCCACACGAUAGCCAUCGUCGGCUACUGGACCGAGCCGGGCGGAACCAAGUACUCGUGGAGUGGGAGUUGGGGUCACAAAGGUUUCGUUUACCUCCUCAGGGACUCUGCACGAGUAGGAGUGUGAGGCGUUGCUCAGCAAGCGUGCUACCCUAUCAUCUGAUCAUCCCAGUCGCCAAAUCGCCACGCACCUCGUAUGUUUGCCUCCAUGUGCUUGCAUUCAUGCAUGUUUGCACCAUACCUUGCCGUUUACUCAUGUAUACUCCAUUAUAUUGUUGCAGUAUGCAUGCUACAUGUACAUGUGUAUGCGCGCACUGUAUGUUUGUACUUUAUACAUGUAUCAUUGUAAGGGUUAGGAUGGUACACAUGCAUCCUUUGCCUAUGAAUAUUAGGAUGGUACACAUGCAUCCUUUGUCUAUGAAUAAAUACUCUUUGUGCAAUGGAGGUCCAACUAGCUUAUAACAUGUCUGGAAAAUAGGAUCUAUAUAUAUAUAUUCAGGUCAUAGGUGUCUGGAAAAUCGAAUUUCCACUUAGCCAUAGACCAAACACCAUUAUCAAAGAUAAUACUGUUGCGAUGAUACCAAGUGCACUAGCUAGCAAUGAUGAUAACUUCCCUGAAAAUUGUUCUUCCAAAAUUAACUCAAGCCUGAAUAACGAUCAUAUCUAAAGAGGCCAGCGAAAGAUUCCACACAAUUCCCAAAAAUGCCCAGCACAUUUGACUGAAACUUCAAAGAAUAAGUGCAUCAGAUUUUAUUCACUACCUGCAGAACAUAGAACACAUGUGUAAUCAUCGAGAUGCAUGUUCUAAUAUAUUCUGAGGUGGUUUCUUGUAUUCAGGCGAUCUCUUCGCAAGAGCCAAAAGCAAAACUAUUUGUUAGUCUGUCCAUUCAGUUCUCAUUAGUUUUAAUAGUAAUAAAGUACUUCACCAGUCCCAUAACUUGCAAAACGUACAAUCAACUCCCUAAACUUUGCUACAGUAUGACACGAGUCAUGGGAUUGUGUACUUGUGGUGCUCUGCUUCAGCCUCCAGUGCAGAGGAAGGGAGCUGCUGGCUUGCCUAUUAGUUUUGCUUGCUUCGAUGUGGCGUUAAAGGCACUGGAGGUGAGUAGGUAGAGCUUCGAAGCUUGCCGGAAAUGGUACAAUUAGCAAGUUUCGGGAUCUGAUUGUUCAUUUUGCUAGUUUCGGAUCAAGAUGACAUAACGUUACAAUUUUGAGGACCUAUAGUAUGUUUUACUCUUUUAAUAAGUAAUAUUUCAUUGAUGAAGAUAUGAAAUACAAUACAUAUUUACUAAUAAGUAAACCAGAUAUCCUCACAGUUUAUACAUAUGUAAACUUAGGAUUUAAAUUUUAUUACAAAAUGAAGAAAUAAUUAGUUGACAUUUUAAUGGAGUAUGGUUAACUUAUCAUUUCAGACUUUGGGAGAUCAUAUGGAGCGGUACACUAUGCACGACUUGGUGCAUGAUCCGGCAACAUUAAUCAUGGGUGAUGAGUUAAUUGUUUCUAAUGUUGCAUCGAAGAAUAAUAAAGCACAUAGCCACAAAUAUUGUCGCUAUGCAUCGGUUACCAAAUAUGACCACACAACAAGGUUAUCCAAUGUUUUACCCUCAAAGGUGAGGUCACUUCAUUUUUCAGAUAGUGGCAACCUGAAUCUCUCUUAUGGGGCAUUUUCGUUUGCAAAGUGCUUGCGUAUUUUGGAUUUUAGUGGAUGCUCUGGUAUACUGCUGCCAGCCUCUAUUGGGCAACUGAAGCAGCUGAAGUACCUUACUGCUCCACGAAUGCAAAAUAAAGUUCUCCCUGUGUUUAUGACUGAGCUAUCAAGACUGCAGUACCUGAACCUGGAUGGAUCUGCUCAAAUUUCUGGACUAUCAGAAUCAAUAGGCAAGCUAGGGUCACUGAGAUAUCUGGGUUUGUCAGGUUGUUCUCGAAUAAGAGAACUUCCAGCCUCACUUGGCAAUCUCACAAAUUUAUAGCAUCUUGAGUUAUCUCAAUGCUCUAAUGUCAAAGCGAUACCUGAAUCUUUGUGUGGCCUUACACACCUCCAAUGUUUGAACUUAUCAUCUUGUCGUUAUAUCACACGGCUAGGCAGCCUGGUCAAUCUACAGUAUUUAAACAUGUCAUAUUGUGGUGUCAAGGAACUUCCAGAGUCAUUCAAGAGGCUCCCUAAUUUAUUGCAUCUAGAUCUGAGAUACUGUGAAAUUGAGAAAGGCUUAGCCGCAUCUCUGCAUGGCCUCACUGCAUUACAAUAUCUGGAUAUGUCAAACGUGAGCUUCAUAGAGAAUUUGGAGAAGGAAGAUCUAUUACCUGUAACUAGGAGAAACCUCACCAAUCUCAAGGUGUUGAAAUUAAAAUCUUUCCUGGGACCAUUUGGUACCUAUAUGAAUCUUAGUUUCAUCGGUACCCUUACCAAUCUGGAGCAUCUAGACCUAUGGUGCAACAAAUUUAAACAUUUACCACAAAGUAUUGGUAAUCUCAAAAGGCUGCAUACACCGAAUCUACAGUAUUGCUUUGGGCUGAACUCCCUCCCACAGAGUCUAAGUUGUGCAACUGGGUUGAAGUCUGUACUGCUGGAUGGGUGCGGACACAAAUUGAUGGAUUAGGCUAGUUCUCUAUUGCACUAUUCACUAACAUUACCACUCUUUAAGGUUCCUGCUGAUGACGUCAAUGCUCGUAGCAAUCUGCAUGCACUCGAGGGUGAAAAUGUCAUCGGUGAGUUACGUAUAGUUUCCCUUGAAAACAUAAGACUUCUGGAGGAAGCAUAGAGACUUAAGCUGUUGACCAAUCAUAAUCUUUUGACUUUGAAACUGGUUUGGACCUUGGAAGUUGAUCGACAUCUGGAGGACAAGGAUUUGUUGGGACAACUAGUACCACCAAUGAUCCUAAAGGACUUGAGUUUAGAUGGUUAUAGCAGUCCGAGCUUUCCUGGCUGGCUCAUGGCCAUUUCUCAUUAUCUCCCUAAUCUUACUUUUAUUGAAUUGAAGGAUCUACCUACAUGUAGCAACCUACCACCACUUGGGCAGUUGCCAUACCUAGAGAUCCUAUGUUUCUGAAAUUUACCUAAGGUUUCAAAAAUUGACGGGGUAUCUGUGGUGGCAAAGGAGCAUUUCCAUGUCCUGGCGAGGAUGGUGUGGAGGAGUUCAUGUUCCCUAUGCUAGAUAGACUCGAGGUAUCUUAUUGUCCAAAGUUGAGGUUGAAACCAUGCCCACCCAAAUGUCAUCAGUUCGUAAUAAAUAAAAGCGACCAGGUUAUAUCUUCACCCAAAUGUCAUCAGUUCGUAAUAAAUAAAAGCGACCAGGUUAUAUCUUCACUGGAGGAGGUACAAACCACCAGCCAUCGUUGCAACUCUACACCAACCACCACCAGACUGGAUAUCAGCGCAAGUCAGCACGACAGUUUCAGGCUGUUUCACCACUUCCCUGCCCUCCAGGAGUUGGAAUUCUCCUUUUGUCGAAAUCUGACGAGCUUGCCGGAGGGCAUACAACAACUCUCCUCCCUUCAAUUACUCGAGUUGAAAUAUUGUCGCAGCAUAGCAGCACUGCCAGAAUGGCUGAGCGACAUCUCCUCUCUUAAAAAGCUCGUCAUCAGGGAAUGUGAUAGCAUCAAGUCUUUGGCUGCACGUAUACAGCUGCUCAACAACCUCGAGCAGUUAGUUAUUGCUGGGAACCAGGAACUGCAGCAGUGGUGCGAGUCAGAAGAGAACAAGGCUAAGCUUGCACACAUCAACAUAGUAAGUUCACGAUGACCACAUUUAUUUUUCUAAAUCCGACAUUCAAGUUUUCUAAUAAAACUCAUGUACUUCCUGUUUCUGAUUUCCAUGAGAGUAUAAGCUAGACCUAAUCAGUCGCACUUUUUUCAACUUUGCAGAUCAGUUUAUGAGUAGCUUGACCGAGUGCCAUAAAAAAAAUGCCACCAGGGCAAAAUGCGGGUCAUAACCAGCUGGACUUCAGAAGUGCGAUGCCUAUAGAAGUGCAUUUCUUAUGUCUGUAGAAGCUGCUUCUGUUUUAACAUACUUGCCUUCACCUAUUCUCCUUCUGAAAUUGCUUUUGACCCACCCCCAGCCUGUCAUGUGGCUGUGAGACAUUUCUGGGAAACAAGCUGAAAUCAUGUUGAAUCAAAUGAUCUUCAUUAGCAGCUGCAUUGUUAGAUCUCAGAUACUGCGGAGCUUAAAGAAGCUGCAGUGUAGUUCACUACAUUUCCUCCAGAUUAAGGCUUUCAGCACAGACAACAUUAGAACUCCAACUGCUUCUGUCAGUGACUUGUGACUGUACAAAUGAACUCUGUUCGGUUCUUCAAGUUCUGCAAUAGAUUUUCUCUUCUGCUGAACUUUCCGUCCGUGCUCUUCUCUGUAAUUUUUUUGUAUGCUGGGCAGACAACUCUCUCUCUCGCCUUGAAUGCUUAAUGCACCAAAUAAACCUAGAUACUGAAGAUCACAUUUUACAUGAAAAACAGGGCAAGCAUUCCUGCAAGUAAGAAAAACUUAUUAAUAUUUUAUAUUUACAAAUAAUAGCAUCUCCAAGUAAAUAAUGCCCAUGAUAACAGGCAUGUUCAUUGUUUCGGGAGAUAAGGUAAUAUUUAACUUCCAUUAAUCGAAUCCACAUUUAUCAUUAAUGCACACUUGCCUACCCCAAAUAUCCAAUUAGACUUUUUAAGUAUUCACUCCUCCGUAUGCGUGAGAAUCAAUCGAUUAAUACGCCUCCACUAGCCUGUCCUGAUAUAUCAGUAGUUACUACAUUUGGUUGAUACUCGAUAGCAAAAGGGGGAAAAAGGAUGCAAUAGCCAAGAACAGGGGAUGUAAUUCUUGCAGGCAAAGCAUCGAGCACUUGGCCUGCAGAUGCCGGAGACACCAACCUUUGCUGCAAUGCAGCCGCGUGCUUGCUUGGCUUCUUGCGCAGCCCGGCGCGGUGAAGAACCAUGUCUUCUGGUCCGCUCCGUGCACGUUGCACCGUGGCCGAGCGCGUCUUCGUCCUCGUCUUCGCCUGCGACCAAACUGCGGCAACCAAGCGGACGAGCGGUGGUUGGUGGGAGCUAUGCGGUGCCCUCCACUCUGUAACCGUUCCCGGCGCCGCCUCGCAAAGCCCCGUGCUAUAUAUAUGUGCGGCUAGCACGCUGGCCCACAUCGUCACUGUGCACGGCGGCGGCGGGAGGAGCGGUGGUUCGUGGGAGCUGCGGUGCCCUCCACUACUAUGAUCUCGCUCAGAAUCUUGCUAGGUAGCAACGCAAAUAGGUAGGAUGGCAAGGAAUUUAUGGUUUGGGAGGAAGAACACCCGUACAGAUCACCUGCAGGCCCACUAGAGAAUAGAGAUACGUACUACUGAAUACACAACACAACUCUGAAAUCGAUUUGAUAUAUAGUAGUCAGACAUUUCAAAAAAAACAUAUACAGUCAGACAGCUUCAGUAGUACGAGAGCCACACCCUCCUCACCGUUUGUUACUCAUCCAGAUGCUAGCUUGUACCUCUUGAGCGCCUUCUUGGUCAUGACAUUGACCUGAAAGAAGCGACCCUUUCUGAGCAAGUCUCAAAUCCCCAGUCGCCUCUCCUCGUCCUGAUCUCUCGUCCCACAGUCGUUGGGACAGCUAGCUAGUAGCUAGAGAGACGAUGGCAUGGGUUACACGUUGUAAGACUACGCAAGCCUCCAGCGCAGGUUGUUCACUACCAUUACUGUAGCACAGUUUGUUCGAUGGAUGUUCACAUCGAUGUGCCCAUGUAUAGUUGCACACAGGUUGUUCAGCUGCUGAAGAAGGUAUGGAGUUAUUGAUGAGGCCAAUGGCUUUGAUCGUUGUUGUGGCCCGAUGAAUAAUGCCUUAUUAUAAAUUUCAUUUGCAAGGUGCGUGGAAGCAAGGAAAUUUUUACCCGGGCACAUGAAUUGCAGUCUAGUCGAAUUGAGUGUCAUUAGUAUGCCAUUUCUGCUGAAAAGAAAUGAGCAGGAAAAAGGGAAUUGUAUGGUAUAAACAAUGGCGCAGAGAUGAAUUAAACACUAGAUCAGUUCUUACUAGCUUCAUUUCCAUUGAGAAAAUAUAAACAAGUUCUGACUAGCUCACCACCCUGAUAGGAGAAGGAAAAAAAUUGUAAAGAAGUUUGAUCUUGGGCUCUUGUUUUCCAGCCUUUGACCAGGCGCGCGUCAAGUGGGCUGGAAGUUUUCGUUCUUUUUGGGCCUUGUAUGUUUAUGCCCAACAACGGAUAGCAUCACCGUCUCAAGUCAAACUUCCAAAUCAUUUGAGAGAGUGUCGAUUCAAAAAUUAACAUGUUAAAACAUGUCAGUUGAACAUUCAAAAGUUGUGAUCAUCUUUCACUAAAAAGACUUGGACCAGGUAUGUCCUCGGUAAUCAGCACCUGACAGAUUGGCUUAAUUAAUUAUUUGUUGGCAUCACGUACAUUGCUUGAAGUCAAGUAUACGCUACGAUUAAUUUAAGGAGGCGUUUGGUUGGGGCUCAGGUAACGCAAAGGGAAACGUAAUCAGAUCACAGCUGGUUUUGUGGUGUAAUCACUGAUUACGUUCUUUGUUUGGUUUGAUGCGAUAAUGGUAAUGGAUUACGUUACAGCUGUUUGGUUCACUACUCAGGUAUGACAAGGUAGUUUGCAAAUUUACUCCUCUAACUGGUAGCUAGCUCAAUGCUCAACCCACAGAGAGCAAGCUCAUUCGAUUUUCCGCAACUACUGAACAUCAACAUGGAACAGAUUGAACUACAACCAUCCAGGAGCAGUUCGAACCAUGUUCAAACACCACAUAGUUCAAAGUUCAUCCAAGCAAAAUAAAAGUUCAACAUCCAGAUUACAUAACAGGUUCAACAUCCAGGCUAAAUAGAAGUUCAACAUCCAAGCUAAAUAAUUGACUGACUCCCUAUGGACUUGUUGUUCACCUCCAUCUCACACAUUGUGCAGUAGAUGACUCCCUAUGGACUUGUUGUUCACCUCCAUCUCACACAGGAUAGUUUAAUCAUAUACACUCGGAAAGAUGCAAGCUCCUUAUCUUGAUCCACCUUCUAUCCUAUUCCUUCUCUCUUCCUCUUCAAAAGAAAAAACAGAACAAGUAAUGAGCUGUCAGUGAAUAGAAAGAAAAAUAGACAAUGAUUUGACAAAGAUUUGCUGCACAAUAGAUAAGGAAUCCACAUAUCCAAUUAAAGAACAUAAUUGAUUUGCUGCACAAAUUCUAGGAAAACAAGCAUAUGAUGUAUGGAAGCAUCUGAUGUAUGGCAGUAAAUAAACACAAAUUCUGAAAAUUAGUUACCCAAAUUCUUUCUUGGUUCAGGAUGAGCGCCUACACAGUUUUUCUGAGAUUCUUUAUAAGCUUUUACAAAUGGCUUCAUUAAUAUAGGAUGGCCACUUGGUACUUUCUGGCCACAUUCAAAAAAAUGUUUUUGUUUAUAUAAAUGCUUUAUUCGAAAUAAGCAUAAACGCACAACUUCUUUUGUAAUAUUCAGGGAUGCUAUUACGAGGAGCAUAAGUUUUAGGCUUCGAGGACACGCAGUGCCCCCUCCAACUGCAUACUGAUACUGCUAAAACAAAAGGGGACUGAGGUGACUGGGAUAUCAUUAGUAUCAGAUAUACUAGCAGCUAGCAGCUAUGUUCAUGAGCUUCUAUGUGGUGAAACAAGCUAGAGAUGACCAAGGUAUAGGAGCUUUUUUUCACAGAACAGUAGGACCAUUUUCACGAGAUUCAACUGACUGAUCUUAACUGAAUGGCAAACAUAAGCAAUACCAGUAUGCAACCAACAAAAGAUCCUGCACUCCCAUCUUACAUUCUCUAAAAGAGUAACAAUUCUAAGUACACCAAUCUAGCGGUACUAAAAAGUUCGAUGAACGAAUUUAAUUUGCCAAUGCCAUCCUCCUGCUCUACAAAACCCAAAAACUCAAGCAGAUUGAACCUGCAAAGGAGAGUUUAAAAAUAGCCAACACUAGCAGAAUACUACAUGAACUAGCAUCUGAUGUAUGGCAGUAAAUAAACAGUUGAAACAACAUAGCAUAGUGUCACAUACCAAGCAUGUUUAGGAAAAAUUCUCUCCUCAGUGUCUCAUCCAACGUUAACAGCAUGCUCAUUUGAUCUGGAAUUCUCACAAACACACUAGCAGCUUUGACUUGUUCGCUCCCUGUGAACCCAAGCUUGCGCAGCUCUGCUGUAGCCUUUUCUCUUAACUUCUGCUGAUGAUCCUCUUUAGAAUUUUUCUCUUGAACAUCAACCUCACAUUCCAUCACUGCUGCCAUUUUCCCAAUAUUUGUAGACACACCCUUUAGAUCACCUUGAACUUCAUGUAACAUGUCCAAAAUAGGGUCACUUGAUGUUGCAGAUACAUGAUCAUUUCCCUUCCUGUCUGUCUUCUGCCUCUUCAAGCUUGAUGAAGCUGAGUCAGUAGAGCAUCUAGGGGUUUCUCUAGACAUCCUAUCCUCCUCCUCCUCUUGAUGGUUACCACCUUCAACUGCAAGUUCUUUCUCUAUAUUUCCAACUGCUUCGCUAAGCCCUUCUGCGCCUUCACCAGUAGCUAUGUCACUCCCAUAUACGGCAGCCAAUGAAUCAUAAUAAGGGAAAGCAACACCAUAUAGGCCCUUCGCUUCAGAAUGAUACUACAAAGGAAUGCACUAGUGUUUCUCAACCUUGGCAAUCGACACAGAAUGUUGCAUUGCAAGUUGAAAUGAAAUACCUACAUUGAAGUAAAGUUUAGACAUAUCUUACAAUGUGCUUCAUAUUGUGUUUUUUCACACUGAAGCAUCUUUCUAUUCUCAUCCCAGUUGAAGCCACUUUUGUUAAGCAUUACCUCCAGUGCCCCGAACUUUGUUCUAAAGUGCCUUACUCUUGACUCAAUGUGGGAAACAACAGAUAUUCCACAGUUAGGUAACUUUUCAGCUAGAUGAGUCUCAAGCACUGAACAAUAUCCAUUCUUAAAGCCUCUCUCACCCUUCCACCUUGGGUCCAAAGAUAUCUCAUACAAGGCUUUAACCAAUUCAUCAUCCUCGGCAACAGUCCACUUCCUUUUAUUCUUUCCCCUGCCACGGAUUGUUGUUGUUGAGCUCUCAGAUAAAUCCAUAGCUGCACAAAAUGAUAACAUGUUAGAAGGGAUUGUAAAACAAAUCUACAAGUAAACUGAAAACAAAAACAGAAGCUUUAAACUCAGUAAACAGAAACAAAAAAGCAAACCUCAAUGAGAAAUAGAAGCCCUAUAAUUAUUAUACAACCCUUGAGCGAGAACAUCUCGAUAAUUAGUCCACUCAUUAGAUGUCGACACACACGUGAUAAAUUCUGGUUCACUCAUUUCCCCCUCUGUAAUUUCCUCUGAUUCCCCUGAUGAGUCAUCCUCCUCCAUUUCCAUUGGAUCAACAGACAUUCUUUGCAAAAUUAAAUUGUGCAAAAGGGCACAAGCCAUUAUUAUUCGGCAUUGAGUCUUUAUAGGAAAAUACUAUGGUGAUCUCAAAAUUCCCCAUCAACCCUUAAGCCUUCCAAAACACCUCUCAAUGAUAUUUCUUGCUCUAGCAUGCCUCAUAUUAAAAUAUUCCUCCGCACUGUGUGGUGGAUUUUGUGCAGUCCAACCACCCAAGUGAUACCUUUGACCUCUGUAUGGAGCUAGAAAUCCAUUUGCAUUUGCAUAACCAGCAUCAACAAGGUAGUAACACCCUUGAAGAACAUGCAACCCAUUUGGCCUUGAAAUAGCAUCUCGAAGCACACGCCCAUCAUGUGCUGAGCCCUCCCAUCCAGGUAAUAUAUAUAUAAAUUGCAUAUCAGGAGCACAAACACCGAGAACAUUUGUCACAAUGUCUCCUUUUCUUGACCUAUAUCUUCCUUUCAGCCUAGUUGGAACUAUUACCUUGAUAUGAGUUCCAUCUAAAGCGCCCAAACAAUUCUAGAAACAAAAGACACAACAAAUAAAAGAAGGUCACAAAACUACUUCUUUAAUUAGGAUUUUUUCUUAAAACUAAAAACUAUUUGAUAAGUCAUUUACCUUAAAAUAUUUCCAUUUACCAUCCGUGCUAUUCUCUGGUAUAGGUUCAGGGGCCUUAAGUAGCAAGUGGUGCAACUUUAAAAUAGCUACAAGACAUAAGUUGAACUGUCUACUAACUGUCUCACCACUUCGAAAGAAAAAUUCUUUUAUUGUUGAAUUCUUCAGUGUGUAUAGGAAUUGAGCCACUAUCUCCUCUAGAGACAUAUUCCGUGUUGCUUUCAACCCGCCAACAUCACUAAGCAUUUCACACAAAGUGUAAAAUGUUCUCUUGUCCAUCCGAAGCUGGCUGAUACAAGCAGCAUCACUAUUGCGAAUAAGGUUGCUCAACCACACAUUCCUUUGUUCUAUGUUUUUUAUCCUUUCUUCAAUUUUUAAACACCUCCUUUUAUAUGCCAUUGCAAGGAGUGACUACAUAUAGUAGUAAAUAACAAUGAUGAAGUCAUCAUAUUUCUAAGGGCCAUGUUCCUUCUUCGGGUUCUUGUGGAUAAAGGAAGGCGAGCCAUAUUGCUGUACACAACAAGUCCAGAGUAAGCAACACAUCUAUGUACACCUACAAAUGGCUCGAGAUAAGUGAAUACAAAUAGCCGUUGUCCUUAAUGCUUUUUUUCCAAAGUCCAAACGAUGUACAAUACAAUAAUCUGGGUUGAAAGAAUGUUUCAGAAAGGUUCAUUCCACAGGUGUAAGUACACUGUAUUAUUUAAAAUCAUGAAAUACUGGAUCAAAGAAGUGACAAGCGAACAAGAAAAACAUAAACCAGAUUACUAUGCAUGCACUUAUACUAGUAGUUCACCAAUAAGAGCUAGGUCAAUCCCUAAAUAGAUUUGAAGAGUUCAGUGCACUGGUGACAAGGCCUACUACUACCAGCUACAGACAAAGAAAUUUUAAAGAACUGAUAAUAUGACCUCAUCAAACCCAGGACAAAAUGCAACACAACAAGAACAGGAAAUAAGCCUCGACUGUUGAACUACAACAUGCUCAAAUCCAGUGCAUUGCACUGCAGAGUGCGCUUGUGAAUGAAGUCAAACCACACUGAUGCCUACUUCAGUAUGCAGCAACGAUUAUACUCUGCAGCGUCAUUUCCCUUCUUUGUUCUCUUCAGUCACCAGAGGGGAAAACAGAGCAGCCGACUACACAUUUUAGUUGCUCGCGUUCCCCCAAAACAAGAAAAGAAAAGGUCCGAGAAAAAAAUCGCAAGAAGAAUUUCACCACGCAACCGCGAAAAUAAACCCGCACAAAAACGCAAAACCCCAUUGAGAGAGUGGGAACGGCACAAGAAUUCGCAAAAUCCCCGAGAGAUUGGGAAGCGCACGGAAAUUUCGAGAGACUAGGAACAAAGACAAGUAGAAAUAAUCGCGAACAGAGAAACAAACAAAUUUCCAUUUCGAGACCUCCAUGAUUGCGCAGAAAUCGCGCGUAAUAAUCUCCCCUAUGAGCCGAGAGAAAAUGUAAAAUAGGGAUACCUGCAACUAUCCCGGCCGAGCUCGCUCCCUUCCCGCUUCCCCCAAUCUUCUUCCAGGGACCAAACAAUCCGUGGUGCGAUCUGGUGCUAGGGUUUGUGGCUUUAGGAGGGCCGGAGGGUGGGGGGGACUGGGGGCAGAAGAAGAGCCGCAUGCCCCUCCUAGCUGCCUUGCAAAGAAACGGAUCUAGAGUUAGAAGAGAAGAGGAUUUGAGAGAAGGAUGGGAAAGGGAGGAAGAUCUCAACACCUUUGUACCGGCGACGAGGGGAGCAACCGCCGCCGAUGUUCGGGAGAUGGAGGACAGGCCACCGGCGGCACACUCCUCCCCGGCGCGAGAUGGGGGCGACGGGAGUAUCGAAUACGCGGGGAGUUUCCAGGGCAGACGGGGGGUAUUGAGUGUCCGGGGCAGACGGGGGAGACGAGGGGAGCGGUAUCGUGGGAUACUGGGGAGGGAGCCCUGUAAACGGAUGGAAACUGCGGGUAAUCGGAUUGUGGGUAAUCGGAUUGCGGAGGAGGUUGAAACAAAUGGGUGUAUGGGUAUUGCUUAACACCCGUAAUCUAUUUACGUUACAUUUACACGAACCAAACGCCUUCUAAGUAUUUACCCUCGAAGUUGAAUAAUUGUUAACACCCAAUAAUCAUGCAAUCAAGGGGAAGGAUGUGGUCGAUUAUCUGCCGAAAGGAGCGAAUUAGAGCUUUUAAAUUUCUGUGACAUUGACUGAAUAAUACCUAUACGUGGGUAAGACAUUUACUAGUUGGAUAAUGUCUGCACCCAUAUUAUAUAUCUACUUGGAUAUACAAUCGUCUAUAUAAAUGGAUAAUUGUCACACCCAGGUCUAAGGACAAACCCGGGUGCAUUACAUACAUGUGUGAUCCAAAUUCACACAUGUACAACAAAUAAUGGUCAAACAAAGUCUAUGCCAUAGAAAAUAGAGAGAAUUAUCCAGUUACAUGACCAAAGUCUGCAUAACACAAAUAAAAUAAACAGAACACAUGGGAAACGAUAAACGACAACUCCACAGGUAGCCAACCGGUGAACGUUAAGCCUAGAAGUCUUCAGAGUCCCGCAGGUACUCCUCCGGGUACACUUGGUCUGUAUGGUUGAAUGCAAGGGUGAGUACAUGUCGUACUGAGCAAGCCAUGGGGAAUCAUGUGUAGUGUAAGGCCAUCAAGGUGGGCUAAGGCUAAGCAGCAAGCAUUGAUUUUAGUUGGUCACAUUUUAUUAUCCAUAACUUAGGUGUAAGUUUAUACCUCCCAAAGAUUAAGCAAGAACAUAUAUAAAGUAAAGCAUGAACAAAUGAUUAAAGUAACAACGGUUUAAUGACAUAUUUCGAUAAGUUAAUCAUGUGAGGGUCUAGGCCACUCUUGACCGUGAGCACGGCUGAGCGAUCAGGUUUUUAGACACUCUGCGGAGGUUGUACACUUUACCCACAAGUCGCGUAAAAGUUCAGAGGAACUUUGGACCCAACCACGCGAUGCUAGCUAGGCAUCAUAUCACACUUUCGAGGUGUGACCGUAUAGGGACGCUACAAGACCUUUACAAAGGGCCAUUAGUGAUUGAUAACCCGCUAAGGUUUCGGUGUCCGGCGCGCACAACCUCCUGAAUGCCGAUUAUGCGACGACUCCGUCCCCCUCUUGCCUCUUCCUAAGGUUACCCCAAACUAAUGAUCCUAAUUACUUAGCCAAAAUCAGAGCCAUUUAGUUCUCGUGGUUGCACUAUUUUCCUAGGUGGUCGCCCCAUGUUCCGAUUAAAUAUUAUGGUCUUGUAAUAACAAAAGGUAUAACAUAAGCAAAGCCAUUUAAUGUAUAUCAGAUCUAACCAUGACUAUGUUUGAGCACUAGACAUAUCUAUUCAUCAAGCUACCCAGUUGAUCAAGGCAUUGGACAAUAAAGACUAGUCAUCCUUAAAUCGGACCCAUCAAGUUAUUCUAGCAUGUGCAUUGCGAUGUAACGUAUGAACAGAAGGUAAAGGAAUAGGACUUUAAAUGUGAACCAAGGGCACGACUUGCCUUCUUGCUCUGGUUCCUGCUGCGCGUAGUCUUCGUACGCGGGUUCCUCGAACUCUUCGACAAACGAAUCGUCUACUCGUACAACACGGCACAAACAUAGAAGCAUACAAGAGAAAAAGGUAAGAAACAGUACAUCAUUUCAUAAAAACAGAGAGAAACAGAAUCACUAAUCUAAUAUACAUGUCAAGACGAGCGCGUGGGUAUAAAAUUUGCUCAAAUCGGAGUUAGGACCUGAAAUCUACACUAAAAACAAGCUACAGGGGCUUUUCUAUGAUAAAAUAAACAUUCCAGGGGCUAGACUGCGAAAAAUAAGGACCUAAACGUAAAUAAACAUUAAGACCGAGGGCUAACAUAUAAAGACACUAAGGCUGGACCGCGGGUACUAAUAGAUAAAAGAGCAGGGGCUAACGCGCAAAAAGAAAGGGCUAAAACAUAAUUAUUUUCCGAUACAGAAGGACAGUGGGUUGAUUAAAAAGAAAAUUAGGGGUUCUUUAGAAAAACUGCCAUUACGCGGCUCGGGCGAACCGACACAGCUCGGCCAGAUUAAGUCUGAACCGUCGGAUCGCCGAUGGACGGUGGAUGCGUGCGCGGGUCAGCUCGGCUUAGCGGCAGGGGCCGGACGGCUCGAAGCCGAUAGCCCGCGGAUCUGGGCCGUUAGCUGAAAGAUUGACGGCGGGUGGAGGGUCGCGGGUACGAUCUGAUCUGGGCCAUCCAGCCGAGAUCGGACGGUGGCUAGGGGGUUGCGGUGCAAAUUGAAUCCACGUCGUUGGCCCGUGGAUGGACGGUGGCGAGCGCAAUUUAAUCUCGACCGUUGGUGUGCAGAUAGACGGCCAGCGGAGCUUCGCGUGAGGGGAACGACGGUGUGCGGCGGAGUGCGGCGGUGAGCUCGCCGGAGUUGCCGAUACGGUGAUUCCGGUCGUGGUUUGGCGCGAGGAUGGCACGGGGAAGUAGAGGGAGACGGGGAGAACCCGUUUGUGGGGUUUGCGCGGGCAGCGCGGUGACGGCGUCGCCAGAACGCGCGCGACAGCGGCGGUGGCUGACGAACUACGCGCGGAGAAGAAAAACACGGAGGGGAAAGGGCACUGCCGGCUCACCUGCGCAGCGGCGGCAACGGCUACAAGGUGACGACGAGCACGGUCUUUGGCGAGGAGGAUGGUGUGGCGCGUGUGAGUGGAACUUGGGUUGCGAACUGGAGCUCGAGGGCGCGGGUGUGUGGCGGCCUGGGAUUUAAUGGUGAGGGGAAGCAACGGCUCUGGCGGUCGUGGCUGGAACGUCAGGGAGUGGGUAAGAGGGGUGCAUGCGGGGAGUGGAGGGAGAGGGAAGAGGGCGGCGGUUCCGGAACGGUGCGGGCGCGUGCGCCAGAGGAAUCGGAGGCCGUUCGCGGCCGGCACGAGGGAGGGGAUAGAGCUGACGUGCGGGCCCCGCGCGUCAGGCUCUGGAGGGGAGAGGGUGGCCAGCUGGGCCGAACCGGUGCUGUUGGGCCGGGUGAAAGGAAACGGGCCGGGGUUGUUCUCGGGCUGAGAAAGGUGAGGGAAGAGGGAGAGUGCUGUCGGGCCGAAAGAAGAGGAAAAGGGAGAUGCGGCCCAACUGAGGGAGAAGUGAGAAGGGUGAGGUUUGCUCAGAUUUCGAAUUUGAAAAUUGAAUUCGGAUUUGAAUUCGAAAUUCGAAAGUACUACUAAGGCAAACCAAUAGCAUGAAAGGCACAAACAAUUCAUGACAAUUAAAUUUAUUCAAAUUUUUAUGAAAUUUGGUUUGGCACAAAUUUAGGGUGUUACAAUGUCUCUGCAUUUGCAUCUUUACAAAUUCAAGGUCAACUAUAGCAACUAACCGAUUGAAUGCUAGAUAGUCAAGUGACAUAAUCAACGUCUGUCCAUGGAGUUUGUCAACUCUUGGAAUCAGUUUGCCGAUUGGUGGCUAGAAAGCUUUUUAGGGCCGGUUUGGGAGGGAGGGCUAAAGUUUGGGAGGGAGGGCUAAAGUUUAGCCCUGGGCUACUGGGUUAAACUUUAGCCCACCCAAAUAAAGGGGCUAAAAUUUAGCAGUGUUUGGGAGGAAGGUUAAAGUUUAGUACUUUAGUUAUCAAAAGACUCUUUUACCCCGUCUCCUUUACCCCCACCUUCUUCCCUCUACUCCCUCGACGCCCUCCCCCCGCUCGUCAAAACCAACCAACGCCACCAUCACCACCCCACCACCAGUUACUACUGCUCCCUUCCUCCCUGCGCCUCGCCUACAGGAAUCCCUCCUCGGAUUCCUUCCCCCGCUCCAGCUCCCGACCCCCAUCCCCACGCAGCCGCCUGCACUGUGCUGCCGGCUGCCGCCUUCGGGAUUUGGCGGGAUCUGGGGCGUCGCAUGCCAUCAUGGAGGAGGUAGCGGACAGAGGCCGUAGGGGCGGGCGAAGCCGGCGGAUCCGGCCGGAGGAGGCGGGGACCGGCCAGGACCUCCCCAAGGCGCCAUCGCGAGGCUCACCCUCGAGGAGGCUUGGAUCGGGCGCAAGGCACCGCGCCCUCCACCGCCAGCGGCUGCACCUCGGCCCCCGCGGUCUCCACGACUCCCCCUGGCACCCCUUGCGCCUCCGCGCCGGCCGUGCCGCCGCCGCCGCCCUCCUCCGUGGCGGUCGGGUACUACUACGCGGUGGAGCUCUACUUCGACCCGGCACUCGAGAACCAGGUGCUCAAGGCGUGGACGCGCUUGCGCGGUGGCAACUCGGCACCCGCCUCAUCGACGCCGCCGCCCGCCCGCACCUCCCGCUGCUCCACCUCCCCGCCGCCGCGCUCCCGCCGCCUGGGACCGGUGCCGGCGGGGACCUGCUCCUCCGCCUGGGUCCCUCGCUCCGGGCGCUGCUGGGCCUCCACGCGCAGCUCUGCGAGCUGCUGCGGAAGGACGCGGGCGUCGAGGUACGCGACGUGUUCCGGCCGGACCACUGGGUCCCGCACUGCGCCGUCGCCAACAGUGGGGAGGAGAGAGAGAGAGAGAGGGGAGGAGGCGGCAGGGCCGACUGGAGGCGGAGGCGGCGGGGCCGGUGGGAGACGGCGGGUGAGGCGGAGGCAAUGGGGUGCCGUGCGGCGGGAUCUGGCGGGGAGGAGUGAGAGGGAGGAGAGAGAGGGGCAAGGGGAGGAAUUUUGGAUAAGGGGGACCACUUUUAGCCCCUUUAGUCCAUUCUAGCACCUCUUGGAGGGCUAAUGGAUUAUGGGGGGCUGAAAUUUAACCCCUCCAUUUUAGCCUAGGUGUUUGGGAGCACUAGUGACUAAAAGUGACUAAAAUGGGAGUGCUAAAAUUUAGCACCCCUCUCCCAAACACCCCCUUAAAACAGCACCUCAAUUCCUUGGUGACAAUAUACAAAAGAACCUCGACGGCACGAAACCUCGGCAUCAGGUGCUGGCAAAUGGCAAUUCAUGUCAGAAGGAGAGACAUCUUGCAGCUCUGACCAAUCCAUCCGUGGUUCCGCGAACAUGCUAGAAACUUUCGAAGCAUCUUCUUCUUGUGUCAAAGCGUAUGAAAAAACAAUACUCUGACGCCAAAUGGUAAUUAUAGAAGGUAUCUUGAUUAUAGAAGGUAGUAGCUAACAUAACUUUGUUUCAUUCCAUAACCCUAAAAGAAAUACUCUGACGCCAGAGCCAGGCCGGCAGAGACGUACAUCUCCUGCCUUUUAAAAGCCCAUGCUGAAGAUCAGAAACCGAUUUAACAACAGGGAUCUUACAAUGGCAGUGACGCGAGCGUGCUUGAUCGCGCUCGUCGUGGCGGCGGCGGGGGGCGCUGCCGGGACGUCGGAGCAGCGGCGGCGGCAGGUGCGAAGCCUCCUCAAGAGGCUCAACAAGGAUCCUCUCGCAACCAUUCAGGUACUCUCUUCAUUCUCUGGUGUUGUCGUUCAGUGGCUUCAUGAUUUGCGUGCAGCACACUAAUUUACCAAAAUUAUCUACAUAUUUUUACUUACUUUUUUGCAACUGAAAAAUUUCACAUGACCUUCGGAUUCAUUCCAGUCCUAAUGUAUGCAUAAUCCUCUGUUUCUUUUCUACUUUUAUUGCGAGUACUGAUUCUAUGAAAAUUAACAACAGAGUGCAGAUGGAGAUAUCAUAGACUGUGUGCCCAUCUCCAAACAGCCUGCAUUGGAUCAUCCACUCCUCAAGAACCAUACUAUCCAGGUUCCUCUCUGCUGCACCAUUGUCCUUCCCUUUUCAUUUCAUUGUUGGGUGCAGAUAGACACCGCAUAAACACAUUGCGUGCAUCGUCACCUUCCAGAUGCGGCCUUCUUACCACCCAGAAGGCCUGAGGGAUGACUCCAACAUCGCACCACAUUCAAUCACCCAAACAUGGCAUCAGAAUGGCAAGUGCCCUCCAAACACAAUACCAAUCCGAAGGACCAAGGAGGAGGAUGUCCUGAGGGCUAGCUCUGUCAAGAGGUAUGGAAAGAAGAGGCCAAGGAGCAUACCGAACUUCUUUUCAGUUGAUGACCCUAACAAGCUCAAUGUGACGAUUGGCCACCAGGUACAAAACCUAUUCAAGAUCAAUCACCAUUGUACAAUUAUUAUUUUAAAAUGUAUCAUUUAACUUCAUUUGCUCUCUCAUUGAGCAGCACGCCAUAGCGUAUACACCGAAGGCAAGGUACUAUGGAACCAAAACCAGCAUCAAUCUGUGGGAGAGGGCCCAGCUAUAGAUCUCUGGGGGUUCCUAUAGGCGACCUCAAUACAAUUGAAGCAGGAUGGUAGGUUAGACCUCCAAGGGAAACAUUAACCCACCUUCAUAAAUGUUCUGUGAAACGCUGACUUUCAGCUUCCAUGGUAUAUGUGAUGCUCAAAGAACCACAGCUAUGGCGAGUAGGAAUUAUCGAUCUAAAAAAUACUCUUUCAUGAGUUGUUCUAGCAGCAUUAUUACCAGGGGAGAAGGGUAAGUAGAAUGCUACAGAGCAUAUACAGCUCUUGUGUUUACACAUGUUCAAAUUUUUUGCAAAAACACGGAACAGACGAAGACAUUCACAUAUAUGCAUGCACACUCACCCACUAUAAACACCUUAGUCGUACAGAUGCACGCAAUAUCCACCUUUAGGAAGGCAUGCAUGCACAUCCAACCCCUAUGAAAGCUUCGAAGGACAAGGCUCCCACAUCUUUAGAUUAAUAAAGUAACCAAAAGGCGUGUCGUUUUUUACAAGCACAUCACCUGCCACUAAAGGAAUAAUUAGCCAAGAAAGUAAGCACCUAUGCUAAGUCAGAGACUUGAUUACUUGAUGGGCAGGUUCCACCAAUCUAACCAACUACUCAAGUUGGACCCUAGAUCUUGUAAUAUUAUUGAAGAAAACAUCCAUAGUCUGUUGUCUUUACUCUAUAGAAGAUCUUGUAGAAUUUAAUUAUCAAAAAAACAAUUGGAAUCCCUACAAAUUUUGGCAAUAUACGAAUGAUUAAGGUUGAGGCAAACUCACUUGGCAAAAUGGAAUGGGAGUUUUCAUCCACAUCAUGGCCUAAAACAGUAGCUCAUAGGAGGAAAGGACACAUCUUAAAAUGACGAAACUAGCAAUAGCCAUGGCACCAAGUUACGAUAGAAGGCUGCAAUAGGAAGUGAAAUCGAUGAAGCUAACUUUUAAGUAAACACAUAUCCAAGGGAGUGACAAAAAUGGAGAAACUAAGGGUUGGGAUGAAAGAGAAUAUAGAACAUUUAGUGAUUAAUGGAAAUACUUCAUAUGAGGACCAAAUUAAAAUGUAUCUACAUAGGUAUUUUGAGAAACUCUUGGCAAUAAAUUUUGUGAUUCCUAUGCAUUUUGUAAUGCAUAUUAUUAAGUCAUGCAAUCUCUUUCAGUAUGGCUAACGGUCUGUUCUCUCCACAAAAUUGCAGGUUUACCCUGAGUUGUAUGGGGAUACAUAUACAAGACUCUUCAUAUACUGGACUGUAAGAUAAGCAUCACGUUCCUUUUUAUCUUUAUCAGUAAGUUAGGAAAUGGCAUUAAGUUACUAAUUCUUUAUUGCUACGGAAUAUAAUAUUGUAGCGUGAUGCAUAUCUAAGUACAGGUUGUUAUAACCUACAGUGCUCAGGGUUCAUCCAAACAAACAAUCAGAUCGCCAUCGGUGGUAGCUUCUCCCCUGUAUCCAGAUACGGUGGCUCACAAUAUGAAAUAACUAUUUUAAUCUGGAAGGUAACACAAAAAAAUCUUACACAUUCCGAGCAUAGCAAAUCAAAUUCAUGGAUGGACACAGAAAAUGUGCCAGCUUCUUGUUCUUUAUUGAGGCAAAAGUUCAAUUGUAAGUUGAGGCUACAACCGUGAUGAUGUUGGCCUGUUUGUGGCCUCACUCACGAGUUGAGUUGUUCCCAUGCACGCAACAGAUUUUUUCCACAAAUGCAACUAGAUCUCUGAUGUUAGCCUUCGGAACAAAGAUUGAGCUAUAUCCCCUUGCCAUAAUCCUGUCUGACUCCCCAGUAAUUUUUUUUGCCUCCAGGAUCCAAAGGGUGGCAACUGGUGGUUGCAAGUAGGAAACCAUAUUUUGGGCUAUUGGCCAUCAACCAUCUUCUCCUACUUGCAAAUUAGUGCAUCCUAUGUCAUGUGGGGCGGAGAGGUGUACUCGCCUUACGCCGGCCAAACUUCGUCAGACAUGGGCAGUGGGCACUUCCUUGGGGAAGGGUACGUACAGCAAGGCCAGCUACAUCAGGAACGUACAAGUGGUCGAUUCGUUCAACAAACUCAAAUCACCAAAUGUUGUCGGAUUGCGGAAUAAGCAGCCCAACUGCUACAACGUGCAGAGCGGCACCAAUAGCAUCAACUGGGGCACUUACAUCUUCUACGGAGGACCAGGGAAGAACCCUAGCUGUCCAUAGUAGAACCCUAGCGGCACCAUAUCUCCUUGUCACAUGACGGAUAACCCUUUAGCAAUGCAUUACGCAUUACUAGAGGCCCAGUAAGUAUUGCUAGUGUCUAUACUAGCGCUUGUAUAUGUGUUGCAACAUGUGGCGCUGCAAGGAUAAAUUACUACAUAUGUAUGUAUCUACAUAUGCAUUGGGUAAGAUGUGUGAACAAGUAUAUGAAGUUUGGAAGAAAUAUGUUAAAUUAAAGUUUGCAACAAUUAUAUUAGAGUUAUGUUGCACGUUUUGAAAUGUUAAAUUGUUAGUGGAACUGAGUAUGCACUGCAAAGUACCCUAAUAUAUUGGUAAGCAGAGGCAUAUUAGAAUUAUGUUGCACGUCCAUGAGCACAGACACAAGCAAUUCGUGGUCUCUUAAACCUAUUGUCAGUGACUCCAUACAAUUGCUGACCUUUUUGUCAUAUCCGGACUUUAGUUCAGGGUCUCCAAAGUACAUAUACCCGCAGCCAAAAAAAAUUCUGUCACAUUGGAAAUGACUUUUAGUUGUCCGGCGAGCCUUGAGGACUGAUGAACUUCGUCGCUCUUGCACGCAGGGCAAACAGUGAGACGUACACGUAUUAUGUAUGAACGACAUCAGGGGUAGGUGAUACAAGAUGGCAGGAGUUGUAAGUAAGGCAAUGACAUGGCACCCGAUUCCCAAUUCAAUGAGCUCGCCGUCGGGGACUUGCUUCUUGACAAAGGCCACUAUUGGAUCCCAAAUCUCGACGAGGUCAAGUCUACCCUAUCUUGAACUCGGGCGAGGUUUAGACACAACGAAGAUGGAAUAAUGCUUGAAACGUCUUUUCAUUCAACAGUGAACGUAGAAAUUUACAACGGGGUAGGGCUCCCCUUUUAUAGUGCCUCGGAGGAUAUUUUACAUUCCGCAAAUGCCCUCAACCAACCACUACAUUAUGGGAAUAUGCUUUACAUCAAGAUCAUUUGGAGGUCACGCUUUUCACGCCACUUGCAGCUCCGCAAAUCACACUCUCACAAGGCUCCGUAGAUCACACCUUGACAAUCGUAUAGAAGCCGCAAGCGAAGAAAGGACGGGUUGAGGAGAGCUGGCGGCGCACGCUAGAAUCCAAAGUGCAUUCUGUAGAAGUAAGAAUGUAGGACAAAAUCAAUCGUCAAGUGGCCCACACAGUUGCCCAAUCUGGAGCACAGCCGGAUCCAAAAUUCGCUAGCCCUUCUCAACGCCUCGGGAGCAACUAUGCUUCCACAGGGCUCCCCGAUGCGCAUAUGCCAGGAUUACCCAUGGACGAGUAACGGUUCGCUGUAGAUUUCAUCACACAAUGCACCUCAUGUGAGCCGCAUACACCGGUCGGCAACCUGACCAUUAAGGUAUACUCUUAUACAUAAUAUUUAUGCAAUCUCUCAAUCCAUCGAUCCACACCUCAGGAUUGGAGUUUAAUAACAUCUUUAUUUCUGCCAUAUGUACAGGUGGCAUAUGGGAGUGUCUUACAAAUCCUAGCAGGACAGACAAGCCAUGGCAUAGAGAUUCCACCUGGCUAUGCUAGCGUCAGCGUAGAGCGGCUCCCUCAUAGCCAAUAUGAAGGCCUCGAGCUCAAUGUCCUGGGAGGUGAUAGGGAAAGCACACUAGGAGAUGCGCUUCAAGGCAUCAUUCUAUGGUGCAAAUAUUACAUCAUCAUCCCCAGCACGGAGGCAUCACCACUCCCCGCAGAUCCCCAGCCGCAACCAUCUCCUCAAAGGUCAAGACCGACUUCUCCACCAUGGCUUCCUCCAGGACCGUCACCACCAAGACCAUCGCUUCUUGGUCAAUCAAGGUCUCCAUCUCAACCACAUCCUGGCGUUGACGACGACAACAACACCCUCCCCGAUCACCGACGCCGGCCCCCAGCAAGGAACCUGUGGCACCACUUAAGAAGUCGCGACCACCGCCUCCCAAGCCAACACAAAGAAAGAGGGAAACAAAGGAGCUUGAAGUGACUCCUGAGGAACACUGGGAGGCAAUGACUCAUGAGGAACACUAGGUCGAAAUCCAUGCAGAAUGCAGGGAGUGGUCUAGGAAAAGGGCCGAAGAAAAAAUAGUAAGGGAGAUGGAGCCACCUCCAGUAGAUCCAAAUAAAUUACAAUUUUUUAUUAAGAUGUCAAAAUCAGUCAAGAAGAUGAUGAGAGGAAAAAAAAGGAAAGGAAAGUCAUCUUCAAGGAUAGCAGUAAUGCCCUUGGAUCAACAAGAAUAAGUAUUGAAAUUCAUGGAAGAUACAGGUAUGGGACUUGAUGCAUGUCUAGGGCAAGUUGACCUGCCAGCUGCAUGGCCAGUUCAACCGAAAUGGACCUUUGAGCUGCAAGUCUCUAGUAAGGCCUAAGUUGGUAGGGAAGUUAUCAGCAAAGAUGUAUGAAUUCCAUGAAUGGUACAUGAGGACGUCCGCCGACCAGACGGCGAUGUUUGGCCUUAAGGUAAACUGAUAGAUUUUUUCGACGAAGGCGAGAAACUCCUCUGGCUGGAAUUCAAAGAUAUAUAUGAAGUGUACCAUCAUGAUGCCCUAGAUGUCUCUCUCAUUAGCGCCUGGGCUCUGUAAGUAUCCGUUUAUCUAUAUACAAAUUUUGGUUCAUAUCAUUAUUUUUUAUGUGUGCGUCGCCCUACUAACUUUGUCUUCCAUUUUAUAUAGGACGCUAAUAUAGAAGUGCCGACGAGAAGGAUACUUCCAUGUUAGCUUCAUGGAUCCAUCCCUACUUAAUCAAGAUCAAAUAUGGGAUUUUUUUAGAGAAAAUGUUGAUGGAAGUAUUCAAUUUCCUGGACAAACAAGCUUACAAGUGUUACAUACUGCUUCCAUACAACUUCAAGUAAGUGUUUAUAUACCAUCUAUUUUUGUUUUCUUUUCCUUACCUGAUUAAUGUUAGGUAGCUCUAAUAUAUAUGAACAUUUACAUACGUAGUUUCCACUGGAUCCUCAUAAUAAUUUAGCGUGAUAGAAGCCACGUCACUGUCUUCGAUUCGUUGAGAAAACCACUAGCGGAGUACCAAGACAUUGAAGACAUCCUAAACUUGUAAUAAUUCUGGACCUUUAUCUCAAUGCAAAAGUUUGUUUCCUAAAUUUUUGGCUAACACUGUAUCAUUCAUUAUUUUAAUCCGUAGCGCAUGGAGACAAUUCCACAAGAAACACAAAUGUGCAUUCAAAGAAAAACUUACAUGGAACACAAAGUACCCGGUACGUAUGAAGUUUGCACAUUUUUGUACAUUCUAUAUCAUGAAUAUUUCAUAACUUGUUUCUUUCCCCACUGAAGUGUUGAAGAUAGUAACCCGUGAAUAAUCUAUGUGGCUACUACAUAUGUGAGAACAUGCAUAGUUUUGUGUCACACAUGGUCAGGUUGACGGAGCAUGAAAAAAAGUAUGUAAAAUAAAACUAUUAAUAGUUAAUUGUUUUCUAGCUCCUUAUAUUUAAUUGUUUGUGUAACAUUAUUCACAUAUUUCCAAAUUACAGAUGCAUAAUAUUCAACAUAGUAUCUUGGAGAAGGAAAGAAUAGGGGCAAUAUGUGAAGGUCUCGUAGGAUUCCUGGUGGACAAGGUGAUAAAUCCACAAGGAGAAUUUCAUUACGAUGGAUGAAAUUAAGAUGCUCCGAGCAACACCUCGACGGGAAGAUCCUAGGAAUUGUUUAUAUACUAAGAAUUGUAUGUAUAAUAAUUGUAUAUACACUAAGAAUUGUACAUAUUCUAAGAAUUGUACAUAUAGUAAUUGUAUAAAUACGAGUUUGAUUUAUUUAAAUACUAGUUUGAUUUCAUUAUAAAAAAAAUUUCAACUACUAAAGGUUAACUAAUGGGGUUGUGAUGCAUGAAAUUACAGGCGCCAUGCAAGCGCCUGCAUGGCGCGCACCUGAAAUUUCGCGGAUGCACAGUCCUUAGUUCCAGUUGAGGGACUCGGGACUAAAGACGCCCCCCACCCUUUUGUCUUGAUUGGUUUAUCCGGGAUGGUUUUUCAGAAGAUUUGCUCCCUAUCAACCGGGACUAAAGGUCAGUUUUCCACCAGUGACUAGCACAUUAUGGUUUGGUGUUCAAGGGUCAGUUGCUAAGUAUACAUCUACAUUGCAUUAGUAAGAGGUUUUAGCGACUCAAAUAUAUUCAUGUUUCCUCGUAUAUGUUAUGGAGUAUAGAAUAAGCAGGUUUCAUCAUUGUUAUUACAACUGUAUAUGAACUAUAGAUACAUAAAUUGGAUUAUUAAGGAAUAUCACUGAUGAUGGAAUCGAAAACUGUUCCAGCAUCUACAUCUUGAAUGUGCAACAUUCAUGACGCAUUUGAUCAAUGAUUAUCAAGGAACAUACGACUCCAUCAAGAACAUUCAACAGUCAAUAGACGACAUAAAAAUAAGGUCUGAAUUCUAGAGCUUAAAAAUACAUAAUCUAAGUUCUUAGUAUUGAAAACAUUUUCCUUUGAGAACUUGUUCUCUAUUUGAGAACUAGUUCCAGCUUGUGCUAGUUUAUUUGUCUAAAAAGAAAAUAUUGUGUUCAAACUGAAUGCAUAAUGCACUAAAAUAUUGUACAAAGGUGACUUUACAAGGAUAUAUUAAGUUUACAAAAUCAGUGGUUGGUGUGACGUUAGAAAUAUAUUUGUCCGGUUACAAAAUGAAUGAAAUAGAAAAACGGACAGAGCUGGCUGUGAGUGUGUCGGCCCAAUUUAUCUUACACUUUUCUUUCCUUCUCUUUAAUUUUUGUAGUAAAAUUAUAUAUUACCACACCCACAGAAGCUUGGUGAGCCCAGAAAGCCCCCCGGCCAGUCAUUCGACAAUUCUCGAAGCCGUUUUGAAUCUGAUCGACCAUGUUGGAAGCUGCUGUCGUCAAGGCAGAGUGUGCUAUCAUGUGUGGGCAGUUUAGCCGUGGCUCCAACAGGGCUCCCAGAAGGUACAGUAGGGCGAAGUGAAAAAACUGUUGGGAAGAAGAUGACAUAAAAGUCUGCAUACAACCACAUUAGCACAUGGAUGAGCCCAUUCGCAUCAUCAAGACAAUCUUCUUGCAACUGCUCCAGAAUACGUAGUAUGGGAGCAAAUUAUUAACAGAACUGGAUCACUGGCAUGAGUCAUGGCUACAUUAGCUACCAUAUGACCAACAGAAUUAAGUGAUCUGGAAAAAAUAUUGAGAAUGACGAACAAGCGUGCGUACAGAUAAUGUGUGACAUAUAUAGAGAAGGAAGACCCAAGUUCAAAAAAUACGUAACUUACUUGAAUCCAAAGUUGCAGAAAUUAUUAUUACAUAAAUUGUGUUGUCCCGCACAAACGGCGCAUCGACCUCUAAUUCACGAACGGCCACCAACCCACUGAAGCUGAGCUCGCUUCUCAAGGCAAUCUUUUCCGUGCUGCCCAGAAUAGUUUCUCUCUUUUUUCGACAAUGGCACUAUCGGCAAGGCUUAUCCAUUUUGCACCCGUGCCGAAAUCCUGUGGCAACAUGCCAUUGACCCAAAGCGUGAUCUUGUUAGGGUGCUCCACGGCUUCUUUUCUCAGUACAUCUAUUGUCUCGCGGAUGCCCGGACCGUCACUUGUAUAGUACUCGGAGCAUCGGAACACGACCUUCUCAAGACUGCCGAGAUGCUUGAUGCCCAUGUAGUAGUCUUGACUUGCUGUUCCGGUGUAGAACUUGAACUCAAGAUGCUUCAGCUUCGGCAUCGCUCCUUCCCCGAAGGUGAUCACCCGUGGCAGACGGCCAUCGACGUAGAACGUCUCUAGCUUUGGAAACCCUCCACCAGUGAUGGCAACCGCCUCCCGUGGGAGGACCUCGAACCUUAGUUGGAGAGCCUGCAGGUUGGGCAUCUGCGUCUUCAGAAACUCGAGGUCUUCGUGCACAAGUUUGCAGAGCCUGAUAUCUAAGGAGCAGACAUUCCACAAGUGUUGCUUGACCCACUGCGGGACUUUCAUGUGUCUCCCGGCAACUCUAAGCAUCCGAACUGGUAGGACUUCACACCUCCAGCGGAAAUGGUUAAAGAGGAUGAGGAUGGAUAGGUCAUCCCUGCACUUUGCUUCAGAAGAGGAAAUAAUAACCUCUUCACCACCACUUGAGCUAAUGACACCCGGAGGCGACAUAAUCAACUUCUCCACUUCAUCAUAAUCAACAACCACACUUAAUAACGGAUUCGGGUCUCUACUGCAGGAUAGCUCUCGGACCUUAGUACCUCUUAUGUCCAGAGUCCUCAGAUGCUGCAGUUUCCCGAUUUCCUUAGGCAACUCUCUCACCCGUGUCCAGCUUACAUCCAGAGUCUCCAAACGCUCAAGGUUCUUGAUUUCCAUAGGCAGCUCCGUGACCUUUGUGCGACUUACAUCCAGAGUCUCUAAGUGCUGCAGUUUCCCAAUUUCCCUUGGUAGCUCCGUGACCUCUGUACGACUUACAUCCAGAGUCUUCAAAGAUUGCAAUUUCUCGAUCCACGUAGGCAGCUCCGUGACCUUUGUGCGACAUACAUCCAGAGUCUCCAAGCGCUCAAGGUUCUUCAUUUCCCUUGGCAGCUCCGUGACCAUUGUGUCACUUACAUCCAGAGUCUCUAAGUGCUGCAGUUUCCCAAUUUCCGUUGGUAGUUUACUAAUCUGUGUACCUGCCACGUACAGGGUCUCCAGAUUCUGAAGUCUCCCAAUCUCCCGUGGGAGCUCUGUGAUUUGACCGCAGCCCAUAAGAUCCAGAUACUUGAGCCAAAUCAGCCCACAUAUAUCGACCAGAUGACCAUUCUCUAGACGACUGCUGUUACGUAUUUCUAGCACUCGCAGCACCUUGAACGCCUUGAAGGGCACACCAUCCAGCUGGCAUUGAUAACCAGAAACAACAAAGGAGCGAGUAUGAGACAGCACAUCCUCAUCUGGACAGCCAUACGUGUUGAGACAAAGACGACGGAUCUGUUUGGCAUGCGAGGAGUUGCCGCCCCAUCCGUAAGCAAUAAAAUUAUCUUCCUUUGCUUUGCACACGAGGAUGGCUGCCAUGAUGGGGUGAAUUGUGCACUUCGCAUUCCUGGAGACGAGCAGAUUCCUGGACACGAGCACCUCCAGGUAAGAAUUUGCUACUUCAACUUGCGAAACAAAUCCUUCAGCAAUCCAUUUUCUCACCAUGCAUCCCCUAUUAAUACCAUCAUCCUUCGGAGGAUAUAUGGUACAGUAUAGCAAGCAAGUCUUCAGCUGAACGGGAAGAUCGUCGAAACCAAGGCAUAGACUCUGGACCAGUGGUUUCAAGGAUGGAGUACUCAGAAACCCAUCAUCCAGAAUGUGGCUUGCCCAUGUAUUAUAUUCCCCAUGAUGGUGGCUCUCUGCCCAUGCUGACGACAAACAGAUUACUGCUAGCGGACAAAAACUAAAUUCUGACCCGCCGCACAUAUUCGCAAUCUGCUUCUGCGCGUUGGUUCCCUUGACAGAUUUGCUCAGUAUCAUAGCUGAUAGUUUUGCAGCUUCCCCAACAGUAAACUUCUGUUUGUACACAUGUGCACCUUGUUCAGUUUCACAUUUCUCGGCUAAACUCCUAGCCCGGGUCGUCAUGAUUAAUUUACAGCACAGAUUAUUCUUGGGAAGAGCCUUACGGAUGACUUCCCAUUCUUCCCAGUGCCAAAUGUCAUCAAUUAUGACCAGGUACCUAAAAAAACAAGACCAAAGAAACUUUAACAUUUGGGCCAUCUUAUCCCUGUUGGGAUCGCCCAAAAGACGAUUGCCCUCGAGGUCACUCGAAUCUAGUUAAGUCCACCGCGAAGUCAUGCAAAACAAUUGACUUCGGAAGAAAAUCACCGGCUUCAAGCAGAACACAACGCAAGGGAACAAUCCUAACCUCCAGAUUCUAAGGUCGGGCCCAAAGCUAAGGCAGGAUUUGGCUGAUUCACUAACCAAAUAACGUUACCUUGGGCACUCAAAGUUAGGGGUACCGAGUUGUUUGGCUACUUCGUUCAGGAUGAAGUGGCGAGCACAUCCGAAUGUGAACGAGCUUCGGGUGCAAGGUCAAGGACUCCAUAACACCCAUAGCUGAACGAGCUUCGGGCGCGAGGUUGAGAAGAAUGAAGUGGGAAACGUUGAAACAGUCAAAGCGUUGAAGUAGUCAAGGCGCAAUUUGUGGGGCCUUGUGAGAGCGUGAUUUGCGGAGGUUGUCGGGUGGCGUGACAAGUGUGACCCUCCAAUGACCAUUGUGUAAAGCAUAUUUCAGGAAUGUAGUAGUUGGAUAGAGGUAAGUGUGUAAUGUAAAGUGCCCCCGAGACACUAUAAAAGGGGAGCCCUACCCCGUUGUAAUUUUCACAUUCACUAUUGAAUGAGAGGAUAUUCGGCGGGAAACUCUUUUCGUUAUGCCCUAACCUCGCCUGAGUCCGAUACAUUCCCGACUUCGCCGAGGUUCAGAACACAACAAUCCCAUGUUACUAUUACUAAUUGAUUGGAAUGUUCAUACUCACAUGACAUACUAUAAAAACAGAAUCCUAGAAAUUCCCAAAUACAUGCAGCCAUCAAUUUGGUAGUUAGCCUGGAUAACCAUAGGCACUGGGUCUAAUUUGUUUCUAAAUUUUUCAAUUCACGCCUGCCAUUAUAUGAAAGAGAACAACAACUUUUCAUGCCAUUGCAAUAACGAAACACUAUAAUGUAUCUACACAAAUAAUGUAUCUACAUUUUGACACAAAACAUUAUAAUGUAUCUACGCAAAUAAUUAAAUAAUAUACGACCAAACAUAGUUCCUUCAUAGAUGACAUCUUGGUACUAAGUUGUGUGCUGAACCAACUUUUCAUUCCAUUGCAAUAACGAAAAAGUUCAAAUUACUCCCUUCAAGUAUCGCCGAAGUCUAGAUAACCCCCAUAAAGGUUUUUUUGGUUUAUUUUAGACCUAGAUUUAUGCCAAUUGGUCCAAUUUAUCCUUAUAAGAUUUGUCUUGCUAAGGGGUAAAUCGGACCAAUUAACAUAGUUGUAGGUGUAAAAUGAACAAAAAUAGUUCAGGGGUUGUCGGGGAUCCACCAAAAAGACGGUCACCCUCGAUCGCAUUUGAAACCUAACUUGCCUCGCCCCUGUGCCAAAACCUCUAGCUUUGGUCGGCUUUCACGACAUGCCAGCUUCGGAUUGGAUCGGAACUUGUUAGCUUCACCGGAUCAUCCCGAAGCUAAUAGAAGAGCUCGACAAACUAACUGGCUAAAUAACCUCGCUGUGAAGCAUGUUUGGCUUUUGUGUACAGGAAGAAAGGUGAAAUGCCUUAGAGGAUAGAUGGUUGACGGACUAGCACAGGGAACUUCUCCUUUUGAAUGCAGGUCAAGCGCUGGGAUGUCGGAGUAAGUUCGAACACCUGCCUUGCUUGAGCACGAUGGAUCACUUCUUGGCCUCAAAGCCAAGAAGGAGACGGCAAGCGAAGCCGGAACGGCUUUGGGCACAACACCAGGACCCGAAGCUAAGCGAAGGGAGACGUGAAAGGCGUGAUACCUAAAUGACCAUCCCUAAGAGAAUAUCCUGCGAAUGUAGCAAUUGAGCAAGGGAAAAUGUGUAAUGAAAAGUUCAGGACGUGAUGAGUAAAAGCCCCGAAUGACCUUCAUGUACGACAUAUUCUUAGGAUGUAGUGGUUGAGUAGGGGUGUUUAAGGGAUGUAAAUGUAUCACUUAGGAGCACUAUAUAAAGGGGACACUACCCUGUUGUAACGGAUACGCAAUAUACAUUGAUAAGUCCACCUGAGGAGAAGUUGUAAGUUCUUCCAAACCAAAGUUAAGACGAUCCUAUCCUAUCCUUGUGUUGUGAUUCCACUUCCCGCGAGGUCGACUCCAACAUUUGGUGCCCACCAUGUUAUAAGCCACUAAGGAACUCACGAUGCCACCAGAAAAGAAAACGAAGACUGCCACGGAACCCGAAGUCACAGGAGAGGCAACUUAUCCCUUCUGAACCAAUACAACAAAUUGAAAUUAACAAGGGAGAAGGAUACAAGAGAAUUGAAGACAUCCUACGAGCGAAGGCACAUAAAUCAAAUGCCACACAACAUGCCCUCAACAAAGAUGACCCGUUAGUGGAAACAGAAGAUGAACAUCAAAGUGAUUCGGAAGAUGAACUAGCUUCGGUCCUUAUAAAACUGGAGCAAGUGAGGAGGCAAAAGGAAAGUUAUGCACAACAACUGCAAGCUCAAAGAGAGGCAGCAGAGAAGCUCACCGUGCUGAACGAAGCCAAAAGGCAGUUAGAGCAGCUACAGCAAGAGCUGAGAGAGCAGGAGAAUCUGCAAGGCACGCCGUAGAAACCAAUAUCACAGCCUACACAAACCUACAACACCAACGCCACUCGUAUGAUAUUCACAAACCAUGGUUUCGGUUCACAGGGCACACCACCGACUUCGAGCUGCCAUGUAACCAUAGACAAGACCUCGCCAUUGUCUGUCCAGCUACAAACAGCUCCGUGGGCUAUCCACUUACAUGGCAGUGGCACUGCCCAAGUUCAACGAUCAGUCUGACCCUCAUCAGAUUCUCAUGAGCUAUGAAACUGCAAUCGCCUCGGCCGGAGGGGACGACACAGUACUAGUAAAGUCAUUCAUUAUUGCAUCCGAAGGAGCAGCAUUGAACUGGUUGUUGGGGGUGAGCCUUAGGUAGACUAAGGCUAGAGACCCCCAUUGUGUGUAGAAGAGGCUCGAAAAGGGGGCUAAGGGCCUGUUUGUAAUGAUUAGGGACUCGGUUGUAAACUCCAAGGACCUUGUUGUAAUAAUCUAGGGACCUCGUUGUAAUAUUGAACCCCACUAGUGGAACAAAUAUAAACAACCUCCUCCCCCUCCUCCCUAUAAAAGGAAUCAAAGUGGUGGAAGGAAGGACUCUUGGCUAUUUGUUCACUUGAUUCACUAGACUUGCUCCAUCCUCUUUCCUUCUCUCUAACUUGUUUAGGGUUCCAAAUCCCAACACUGGUACUCCCUGCUCCCACCAUAAUCAGUGUACAGCUGGGCUGAUCUGAAGGUGAAGCUAACACAAAACUUCCGGGGUUUUCACCAAGCUCCAACUGAUGUAGGAGACCUCUACAGCUAUAAGCUAAAAGACAAGGAACCUCUGGCAAGUUAUGUUAAGAGAUUCGUUCAGCUCAAGGCACAGACAUCGCAAGUUGCAAAUAGUAUCGCUAUAACCUUGCAUAUUGGGACUCAACCCCAGCCCAACUGCUUCAAAGCUGUCAAGAAAACCACCAAAGACAAUGGAGGCCUUGUUCCCGGAGCUAGAAUAGUAUUGCAAAUUAGAUGAAGAUCAUAGAAGAAGGGUUGCACAAAGAAACCAAGAGAGACGGAUGGAGAAAGGAAGAAACUAGCAAGCUUCGACAUAUAAUAACCGCCAUCAGGCCAACCAAGUCAUGGAAAUUGAGGGUAACCAGGCACCUAACCAGAGCUAAAACUACAACCACAACCAAGCCCAAAACCAACACCACCAAAACCACACCAGCUUCGGCAACACCCACAGAGGGGGACAUAACGGAAGAGGAAGAGGGUGAAGCAAUGGCCCCCCAAAGCCAGACAAUCAAGCCAGGCAGCCAAGGCCAUUCUACUGCAUAUUCCAUGGAAAAAUCUCAACCAUGCAACAGUCUGGUGCCCCGACACUUUGGAAGCUGCAAAAAGAGAGGCAGAAAAGAAAGCAGCUGAAGAAGCAGCAAAAUCAGCUAAAACCAUACAUCAAACAACCUUUUAUCCACAACCCCCAUACUACCCGAACCCAACUGGCUUCGUGCCUUUUCAGCCAACAAUGACUUGGCAACCUUCAACCCAAUUCCAACCCCAAUUCCAGCCAGUCCCGCAACCUGCAACCUUCGCGCAACAACCUUGUCACGAAAUCCCACCACCACCACCAAACAUGUCAAAUGCAAUACCCAAAGUCGAACCAAACCCACCAAAUAGAAAUCCCAAUGCCUUACCCAUCUAUGGCACAAUCAUGCCAAUCUCUAGGGUAUCUUCGCAAACUAGGCAUCGCGAAGAUGACUCAAAGGCCCUACCAACCUACGAGAUGAUAAUGUUGAUCGCAGGAGGCUCCGCUCACGAAUUUGAAAACAAGAUGCAUAGGAGGGAUUACUUUAGGCGAGUGAACACAAUCAUACUUGAUGGCCCCCCGGCGAAGCCAGAAUGGGCGCAUUUGCCAAUCACUUUUACUGAGGAAGAUGUUAAACUAAAGACAACCUCACACAAUGAUGCCAUGGUAAUAAACGUUAUCAUCGCUGGCUGGAAAAUUGGAAAAGUCCUGGUAGACAACGGGAGCUCCGCAGACAUCAUCUUUGCCAAUACUUUCAGAGAAAUGAAGAUUGAUCAACAUUUACUUCAACUAGCAGAGUUCCCACUGCUUGGCUUUGGAGGAAGACCAGUAAAAGCCUUGGGAAAAUUUUCACUCAUGGUCUCCUUCGAAAAUCGAGAAAACUCAAGAAUGGAGAACAUCACGUUCGAUGUAGUUGAAAUGUACUACCCCUACCUUGCCGUUCUCGGGCGAGGCUCUAUCAACAAGUUUGACGCAGUCAUCAGACAACUCUUUCUCUGCAUGAAGAUACCAGCUUCGGGGGGAAUCAUCAUAGUUUAUGGUGACCAAAAAAUAGCAAGCAACAUAGAGAAAGGUGAGACAGGCCAAAAGAAUGUGCAUCACCUAGUACCAACAAAAGAAGUUGAAGAACAGGAAAAGAAAAAUCCCUAUGUCGAACCUAAGAGGGACAAAGAAAAUGUAAGCAUGAGUGUAGAUGGCGAAACUAAAAAGAUCUUGCUGGACGGUUACGUUGAAGGCAGAUACAUUACAAUUGGGGCUAACCUCGAGCCAGAGGAGGAAAAGCAAUUGAUCGAGUUCCUAAACAGGAACAAUGACAUCUUCGCUUGGUUCACUAGUGACCUUACAGGGGUGGAUAGGGAGAUAAUUGAGCAAAACCUUGACAUCAGACCAGGGGCGAGUCCCAACAAGGAUUAUCAGAACAGUGGGCAUACUUGAGAGAAGUAAUUUGGAAAUUUUCCUUAUAGUAACAAAAAAUGAAAUGUUUUGUCUUGAUUCCAGAUUUUAGUAACAAACAAAGAGAUGGGUUGGAAUUAGAUUACACCAAAAGCUAGGUUUUCAAACUAACAUGUAUCACCUAUGGUUUUUCUUGCAAUAUUAGUAGGCAAGAAUGAAUUGGGAAGUCAAAAUCUAGAUUUGUCAAGUCACGAAAGAUAGUGUGGGGGCCACUCUUAAAGGAAACCCCGAAUGUCAUUUGUAUUAUUUCCUAGAUCAGUAGAUGAUACUGGCAUUUCUCACAAGAAGUAUCACAUCCAUACUUCGUAUAGUUUUUAUCGACAUUUUACAUAAGUUUACAAAAGAGAAACAAAGUGCAUACCACUAAGGGUAGCCUCAGAGUAGCUAUACAACGGAGUUCUAUGUAGUAUUUCCAAGUCCACAAGCAACUUGGCUCCUAAGGUCGAUCUCCAAGAUCCUCAUCAUCUUCAACAACCAUUUCUUCCUCUAUAGAAAGAAAGCAGUAAAGCAAGUAGAGUACUCAGCAAAUCCCACUGUCAUAGAGUUAUUCAUGCUAUUUCUUCAUGGAUGGCUCUAGUUUCAUAUUUGCCAAAAAGCCAUUUUUAUGCGGGGUGAAAAGUUAUAGCUUUAAAAGGAAUAUAGGACAUUUAGCAAUAGUUUGUUGGUCCUGGAAGGGGCAAACUACAUCCCUUCCUGUCCCUAUAUUUUAUUUAGCAUCAGGAUCCGUCAGGGACUUCCUGAGCUAGCUUUGCCUUAUUUAGUAACAACUCCUCAGGUCAAGGCCUAAGACACAAGAUUUUCACAAAAACAAUGUUAUGACUAAUCAAUGGGAGCUUUGACCAAGUGAGCUCAAAUCUGUGAGCCUCGGCUAUCCAGAUACAUCCCGGGAAAACAGAUGCAUCAUAAAUGUGGUAUACAAUACCACUAGGCCACUCUGGAUCUCAACCUAUGACCUGUGUCGACCAGACCUAGGACAAAGUGAAGGUCAUGUUUCAGUCUACCCAUUGCCUACCGUGGCCCCUUGGGGUGGUUCACUAUGUUCAGCUAGUGGGGUGCGAAUCAAGGCCUCACAUAGAUAGGUACUCCCGAGGGUUGUACCUUUUCAGCACGUGUGGUUGUACGAUUCACCAGAUAGACUUGCCCAUGAACCGCUCCUUAUAUGACCAGAUUAAGCUUUUUGGAUAGGAUCCUCCAUCAAGGCUACCCUCUUACUCUCGUGUCUAGCCUUAUCUAGUUGCUAGACUUGUUAGUUAUUUUUAUCUAAUUUUCAAAGCACUCACACCAUUUGGUAUUUUGUAAACUUGUGAAUGACUCCAUAAGUAGUUCCUAAGCGUUUCUAUUGCAUCCUAGGUUUAUGGUAUCAAGGAGGGCUUGAAUUAUUUAGGAAUAACUAAGCAGCUUAGAGAAAAUAUUAUGCAAGAUUUUGAAUGGAAAUUCCAUGUUAUUAUUUGGCUCUUUUAUUUAUAAAACUUGGGAUUCAAGGGAUGGUAAUGCGUGGACUUGCCUUCUUCAAAGUCUUGUUCAUUGAAAACUUCCUCUUCGUAGUGCAGGUCGUCAAACUCGUUCCCGGUAUCGUUGAAUUCUACAUAAUCGUAGUUAUAUGAAAGGAAGGAUGGGCAAAUGGAUUUUAGCGUUAACUGAAUUUUACUUAUGGUAUAAGUCCGUUAAGGCAGCAAAGGCGCAGGCUGUAGCUGGUUUCAUCGUUCAACAUUAUGAUGAAUCUGUUGACAUGAUAGAGUUUGGCACCGUGGGUUUUGUUUUUUGAUGGAUCAUCGUGAUGGAUCAUCUUGUGACCUCCGCAGGCGGCGCAAGGUUGAGGUCGGGAAUAUUGGCAUCGAGCUUGGGGGCGGCGAGCAGCGCGCUUGCCCACGGAGCUCGCGGGUAGCAGCUGGUCGGUGGAGCUCUGGGAGGAAGACUGCGGCAUGCGCACCGGCGGAGGUCGGGGGAAGCAGCUCGUCGGUGGAGCCAACAAGCUGCAUGCGGUCAGCUUCGGAGCUUUUCGAGUUUGACGUUUUAAUGGAAGAAGCGCUUCUGUUUGCUUCCUUGAGUUAAAGUUUAGUCCUUAUCACAUCGAAUAUUCGGAUGCUAAUUAGAAGGACUAAACAUGAGCUAAUUAUAAAACUAAUUACAACGGAGGCUAAUUCAUGAGAUGAAUCUAUUAAGCCUAAUUAAUUCAUGAUUACCACAUAUUUACUGUAUAGCAUCACCUUGUCAAAUCAUGAACUAAUUAGACUUAAUAGAUUUAUCUCGCGAAUUAGACUCCAUCUGUGCAAUUGGUUUUGUAAUUUGUCUAUAUUUAAUACUCCUUAUUAGUAUCUAAAUAUUCGAUAUGACAGGAACUAAACUUUAGUCCGUGGAACCAAACGGGACAUAGAAGCUGCACUUUUAGGUUGGGAGGCUACACAGCUUAAAAAUAAGUAGAAGCUGCAAAUAAGCAGCUCCAAACCGGGUCAUAGUGACACAUGAUAGAUCCAAUUUGUAUUUGGAAAUAAGUUGCAUUAUAUGCAUAUUUUAAUCGUUACAUACACGUCCAGGUCCAAUUCUUUUAGAUAAAUGACAGUUACAAUUUUUAUAAAUUCUUUUAGAGUGGGAAUGGAGACGACGUACCUCUUGUCAGAGAGGAAAUUUGAUAUGCCUUUGAUGAAAUCAUUUUGCUCGGCUGCAGGUUCGGUGCCACUGCUAGCAGAAAGAAAAAAAUAAUAAAUUUGAAUUGGUCAAUAAUGCCACAUCUGUCACUUAUAAAUACUAAAUUAUAGGCAUUUUACGAAGUUCAAAUAUUAUCUAUAUGGAUUCUCAAAAAAUAAUGCAAAUAUGUGUGGACGCAUGCAUGUACGGGUUUUGGCACUAGCGUUCCAAUUUCCUAAGGCCUUGUUUAGUUCCCAAAUUAGGAGUGGUAAAAUUGGCAUUUUGUCAUAAAUGCGUAACUGUAGUAUUUCGUUUGUAUUUGUGAAUUAUUGUCCAAACAUUGACUAAUUAGGCUCAAAAGAUUCGUCUCGCAAAGUACAACAAAACUAUGCAAUUAGUUUUUGAUUUCGUCUACAUUUAGUAUUCCAUGCAUGUACCGUAAGUUUGAUGUGAUGGGUAAUCUUCUUUUUGCAUAGUGCUAAAGUUGGAAAUUUGGGGGUAACUAAACGUGGCCUAACAUACUAUGAUUUGUUCAAAAUAGUAGCAUCACACGCACAAUGGAGAGGCGGUACCUCUUCUCAGAGAGGAAUGAAGUAGAGUGAGAAUGGAGAGGCGGUACCUCUUGUCAGAGAGGGAAAUUGAUAUGUCGUUGAUGAUAUUUUGUUCGGUGCCACUGCCAGCAGACAUUGUUACUUGGCUGAGGAUGGUACCCAGAAUCUCCGUCAUGUUAGGACUUGGGUGCACGGACACGAAAGCCCGGCAUUGGAAUUCAUCUCCUAUUGUCUCAUACACCAGGUCCGCAAGAGUUGUUUUGCCCAUCCCUGCAGAUCCAAGAAUGCAUACCAUUUCGUUGUUCUGAAGAAAUUGCAUGACCGACUUCUUCCUUCGUUCCAUGCCCAUGAGCUCCGAUGCAUCCUUGUGUAGGAAGAGAGCUCGAGGGUCGGUGGUCAGCUUGCUACGGUUGCAGAUGAUGGCGUCGCCAACCUUCUGCAUCUUGCCGCACCGCUUCGAUACAUCGUUGACCCUUUCCAUGAAUUCCUUGAAAGGGCUGUCAUCCGUUGUCUCCCGCUGGAUGAAGCCACCGUCGCCAUGCUCCAAACUGAGAGUGAAGCCGUCGAUGCCGUCCUCCAUGUCGUAGGACAGCUCUCGGGCCUCCGCCAUCCAAUCCUUGCAUGCCACAUCAAGAUCCAACCUCCCCCAUAACUUCCCCAGGAGAUGGUGAACUGGCUCGAGCUCGGAUUUGAUGGACUGGAUGCCUCGCCGGGUUCCCUCCUGAAGCUUGUACUCAUCACCCAGCAAAGCAGCGAGCUUCAGCAGGACCGGCCCCAACGCCCCGGUCGCUGCGGUCACGGCAAGCCGCUCCUCCAUCUCUCUCGCACUCUCUAUGCCCAAGCGAAUGGCAGGAGCAGGAGCAGACUCUCUAUGCACAAGUUGGGCCCCAUCCAAAGUCCAAACAAUGAUAUUGCUUCCGUCUUCCGAUGAUUGACCAUCUCUCUUGCACUGUCCAAGGCAAUAAUGUAUCUUUUGGCAUGAUUCACGAAGUUCGUCUACCACGCUCCUCUGCACUGCCCAAUGAAAAAAUUAUUAAAUCCUUCCUUUCGUCUACCACGCUCCUCUGCACUGCACAAGGCAAUAAUGGCACAAAGAAUUAAUGGAGGACGACAGGGUGCCGGUGGUUCAUAGUGACGGCGCGGCCACCGAGUCAAGUCGUCGGCCGCAAACCACUUACGGCUGUUCCAAUGGGACAUUGGUGCUAAUUUCUAUAUCCAUUAAUUACCUUGACAACUAUGCUGCGAGGGCUCAGAGAUGACAUAGCAGGGGUGUUUGGAAGGAGGGGACUAAAUUUUAGUCCUCGUCACAUUGAAUAUUUGACACUAAUUAGGAGUAUUAAACCUAGACUAAUUACAAAACUAAUUACACAACUCCUAAGCUAAAUCGUGAGACGAAUCUAUUAAGCCUAAUUAGUCCAUAAUUUGACAAUGUGGUGCUACAGUAACCAUUCACUAAUGAUGGAUUAAUUAGGCUCAAUAGAUUCGUCUCAUUUAACCUAGAGGUUCUGCUAUUAGUUUUGUAAUUAGCUUAUAUUUAAUCCUUCUAAUUAGCAUCCGAAUAUCCGAUGUGACAUGGCUAAAGUUUAGCCUCUGUCUCCCAAACACCCCUGCACCGCCUUUACAAUGAAGCAAAACCGCUCGGUAUCUGCUUCCGAGUCGCACCCCCGGGAAAAACGGAUCGACCCCGCGUCGUCCCGAAGGUGGCACAUGUGCUAUGUAAUUGAAGGCGGUUGUUAAGGCACUCCGUCCACGGUUACCGGUUUUUUAAGAAUUUUUUAGCGUGUCACAUUCUACAAAGAAAAGCUCCGUAGUGGAAGCGAACGAGCCGUUUAAAAAUUUUCGGGUGCGCGGUCCAAGUGAGAUUACAAACGGGUUAAUAUGUAAGGGAGUCAACGGCGAGUAAUCAAACAGGUUAAUAUGUAGGCACAUGUGCUGAGAGAUGGCACAUGUUGCCGGCCUACACGUGAUCUGCACUCGCUGCGAGAUGGCACAUGUGCUGCAUCAAUACUCUUUGCCUCGAUCAGACCUCUUAGAGCACUCACAAUGCAGACUUCAUCGUGGAGUCUAUCCCUAUUAAUUGCACUGCCAUGUAAGCAUUUGGAUGAUGUGGCAAGUAAUUUAACGAGGAGAGAGGAGCAAAAACGGAGAAACGACGUCUUAUUUAGACACCGAGUCUUCGAUUCGUUCGAGGCUGGAAGACUCCACCAGUCUCCGCAUUGGGGGAGGGGAAGGUCGAGUCUACGGAUCCAGUACGCCAUGCCGUCGCCGCCGCCGAAAUUCCUCCCGCUUCUCCCGCGCGCCAUCUCCCGCGUGCGAGCCGGAGCCCGCCGAUUCCUGCGUGCAAGGUCUCCCGUGCGCGCGCUCUCCAGCUCGUCCCCCGCGCUCUCCAGCUCGUCGCCGCUGUACAAAAGGAACCCAGUUCCAAAUCAAGGUACGCCCAAUCCAUCCCCAAAUCUUCUCCCCAACUGAUCUCCUCCCCAACAAGCUUUAACCCAAAUCCAUACACAAAUCUCGAAUUAGGGAUGAAUCGAUUGACGAAGCCUAGUUCCCGGCGGGGCAGUGGUGGCCGUGGAACCCGACCUCCGGCCAUCCGUGCUCCUGGGACCUGUGUUCCGGCCGCAGGUGCUUCUGCAACUCGGAGCCUUCCCGCUGGCAGCGCUGCAACAGCAGGUGUUGCUGCUCCCGUCACCAGUUCUCCAAUCAGUGCUUCCCCCUUUGGUGGAUGGUGGCCAACAUCUUCUCCUAGUGAAGUGAAGGGUAUGUCAACAGAAAUACGUUUCUAUGGAUCACAGAUUGUCUAUGCACAUUGUAGUUACAGAUUUUAUAUAUAGUCACAGCUUUCUGCGUUAACUAGAUGAAUUGCGUGGAUGGCAUGCCGUGGUGUUAUAGAUUUUGGUCACAGCUUCUUUGUAGUUAUAGAUUAUAGAUUGUAGUUAUAGAUUUUAGAUUUUAGUUACAGAUGUGAAAAAUGUAUAUAUGCAUAAAUGACAUGCCGUGGUGUUGCUAGGCAUGCCAAUUUCAUAGCAAUUAUUUUUCCUAUAUGUUGUUCUCAAUUUGCCAUGUCGGUGUGUUGCUCUUGAAGUGUUUUAUGGCAUGCAUUCUGUGGAUUUUAGUAAUUUAGUAUAUAUAUAUAUAUAUUUCAUGGAUAAUAGUUUGAAUGCCUUUUGCCAAUACUGUUCCUCUCAUUUUGAAGAGAUUAGGUGACUGCUAAUAUCACCUCUUCCUUUUUGGUUACGAUUGAGCCACUAUAUAUUGUUGCUUUCAGUUUUCUCUGAAGUUACGAUAAUAACAGACAACCUUACCACACAACAAACAAUAUGGUUGCAGGUUAUACCCACAAGGAGGGUUCUCAAAUCUUCUGCAUUCCAACCCAUUUCUUAACCAUCCUAAUGGAACCAAUCUUCCAGAGAAUUUCCACUUUGUUGGUGCUGCAAUGAAUCGGUCUUCAGUGUCUCCAAUUGACCUGGGUGCUACAAGAACUCAUUCUCCAGCAGAAGAAGAAGAUGGUCUAUCUCAUGAUGCAGUGAAAGAUGUAGGUGCAGAAGAAGAUGAAUCAAUUAAUGUUGAUGACGAUGCUAGAACCGACAAGCGUUUGAACUGGACCGUUGAAGAAGAUAAACAAUUGGCCAGUGCCUGGUUGCGUAAUUCAAAGGACCCAGUCGAUGGAAAUGGCAAGAAGGUAGAGCGGUAUUGGGAAGAUGUGACUACAGAAUACAACAAGAACACAGAAACUAGCCGUAAGAGGAACAGAAACCAACUGAAAAUACGUUGGGAUCGCUCUAGGAAACCAUUAACUGAUUUUCAUGGUGUUUGGGUAAAUGCCGAUAGAGUAUGGCAAAGUGGGAUGAGUGAUGACCAGUUGACUGACAAAGCAUUAGAGAUGUGGGCUGGCCAGAAUAGUGGUAAGGCAUUCCAUCUGCUGCAUAUGUGGAAGGUAGUACGUGGUCAGCAGAAAUGGUCAGCAUAUAUUGCUAGGUUAAAGAAGGAAAAGGAAAAGAGUACAAAGGCUAACAGUAACCUAUCUGCAGUGGUGAAUUUGGACUUAGAUGGAGAAAAGCGACCAAUGGGACAGAAGAAAGCCAAAAAAGAAUUGAAAGGCAACAAAAAGGGAAAUGACGCCUUGUCUAAUUUGAACAAUAAAUUUGACAAGUUCAUUGAAGCAAGCAACAAAAACAGGGCAGAGAGAGAGAAGAUGAUAGAAAUUCAGCAAAGUUUGGCUGAUAAGAAGAUUGAAGCAGCUAAGAUUAGUCAUGAAGCAGCUCAUGAACAAACUAAGUGCAAAAUGCUGGAAACUUACACACAGCUACUGCUUACACCUCAUGAUCAGCUUAAUGCAGAUGCUUUGGCUGAGAGAAAUUUGGCACUAGAGAGCAUGAGACUUGCUUUAUUUCCUAAUGUAUGCCACUGUCAACCCUUCUUUAAUUGCUUAUUCAAUUGCAAUGAACUGGUAACUGAUGGACUUGUACCUUUUCUAGAAUUGAUCAUGCAAUAGCUACAAUGUGAAAACAAAUGUGACCAUGGAAGUGAUUUAUGUAAGGUAACUGAAAUCCUUUGGUCAGUGCUAUAUUAAUUCCUGUGAUUAGUUUUUUGCAUGCAAGUGUGAACUCCUUCCACUUGUGAAAUGAGACCACUAAUUUUUGUGAAACUGAAACAGCCACGGCAAGUGUGAACUCCUUCCACUUGUUUUGUGCAUGCAAGUGUGAAUAGAUACAGCCACGGCAAUUGUGACUAUAUAUAGCACACAACCACGGCACUAUUCUGAGUCCCCUUUCUGCUACUGCUCCCCUUUCUGCUAGUGCUUCCCUUUCUAAUCUGCUUUCCACUAUUCUCUGGUAUCCUUUGCUACCAUGGAUGGAGAUGGCAACAUGGACCCUGCUGAUCUGUACUCCAUGGAUGACUAUCUUCAAGAGCAAGAAAUUCUAGAUGAUUUAGGCGACCAUCUUGUAGCUGAAAUGCAGUCCAUUGUUGAUGACAUACAAGGUGGAGGAUCUCGGAGUGGUCCUAGGCGAUAUGUGGAGAGGCCUCGUGAACAAGCCAGCCAGCAACUAAUGGAUGACUACUUCUCUCUUAAUCCAGUCUACAAUGAGACACAGUUUCGAAGAAGAUUUAGGAUGAGGAGACCCCUCUUUCUGAAGAUUGUUGAGGCCUUGAGUGGAUGGGAUGAGUAUUUCACCUUGAGACCGGAUGCUCUGAAUCGUCCUGGGUUCUCACCAAUUCAUAAGUGUACGGUAGCUAUCCGUCAAUUAGCAUAUGGCGGCUCAGCAGACCAGCUUGAUGAGUAUCUGAAGAUGGGAGAAAGUACUGGUGUGGAGUGCUUGAAAAAGUUUGUUAAGGGAAUCAUUGAAGUAUAUGGUGAAGAGUACUUGAGACGCCCCACAGUACAAGAUGUUGAACGACUGUUGGAGAUCGGUGAGCGUCGUGGUUUUCCUGGCAUGUUAGGGAGCAUUGACUGUAUGCAUUGGCAUUGGGAAAAAUGUCCCAAUGCAUGGAAGGGACAAUAUACUCGUGGUGAUCAUGGUGUACCAACCAUCAUUCUAGAGGCUGUUGCUUCGCAUGACCGAUGGAUAUGGCAUGCUUUCUUUGGAGUGGCGGGAUCCAACAAUGACAUCAAUGUGCUGAGUCAUUCUGAUUUGUUCGUCAAGGAAUUAAGAGGAGAAGCUCCACAGGUGCAGUACUUUGUGAAUGGAAGGCAAUAUACCAAAGGUUAUUAUCUUGCAGAUGGAAUAUACCCAGACUGGGCUGUUUUUGUCAAAUCCAUACGCGCACCACAAUCAGCUGAGCACAAGCUGUAUUCAGAACAUCAAGAGGGGGAAAGAAAGGAUGUUGAAUGUGCAUUUGGCAUUUUACAAUCUCGUUUUUGCAUUUUGCGUCGGCCGGCACGUCUAUAUGAUCAAGGGGAUCUUGAGAAUAUCAUGUUAGCUUGUAUAAUACUUCACAACAUGAUAAUCGAGGACGAGAAGGAUAUAGAGGAUGAUUCGUUUGACCUGAACGAGGAAGGAACCACGUCUACUGUUCAGGCGUCUACAAUCGCUCAUGGAUAUGAUCCGGUGAUGGAGGAGGUAAUACAGAGAAGUGCCGAGAUUCGUGAUCGUGAAGCUCACAGGCAACUACAAUCUGAUUUGAUUGAUCACAUUUGGCAAAAGUUUGGGAAUCGAACUAAUUAGGUAGAGUUAUGCAUUUAAAUAUAUAUAUAUACACACAUUAGCCUUCAUAUUCAAAAAUCAUUGAUAUUUGUUUUUUUACUGAACCAUUGAGAUUUUGUUAAAUCAACCACCUGUACAAUUUUGUUAAUUUACUAACCCAUUCUUAUUUUUUAACAGUUCUGCUUGGAGUGGCUGGAGGAUGAUGGACAUGGAGUUCUGUAUGCAGGAUGAUGAUGGAUGGCUUAAUAUUAUCUAAAUAUUAGUAUUAUCUAUUCAGUUUGCAAUUCAUAUCUUAGUUUCCAUUGCUAUAUAUUGUAAUGGAUGACUCAUUGCUACUAUCUAAACUUUCAUCGAAGUUCUGUGGAGUUUGUUUGCCAUUCAGUGUAUACUGUAGGCAUUGUGUUUGCCAGUAUGGGUUGUGCUUCUGGUGAUAUAUAUCCUAUAUGCGUUUGCUGAUAUAUCUUGUAUGUGUUAAAGUAUGUGUUGUGCUUCUGGUGAUAUAUAUACUGUAUGCGUCAGUUCAAUUGCCGUUUGAUCACAACACCGUAUUUCUGGAUGCCUCUGUUCAGUUGCCGAUUAAUCAUGUCGUAUAUGGUUGUUGCAAGCUGUUGAGGUGCAGGGUGGAUCACAUGGUAAGAUGCCACAACUGAUCAGCUUUCUUUGUGUUGCAUAAUAAAAAUUUUUAUCCAUAGAAACUAUUGUUACAAACUUUGCAUUAUGGAGCAUAGUUUCUUGUGAUAGAGUCUUCGACGUAUAGACUCUAUGGAUAGAGUCUGGACUGUGAGUGCCCUUAUGUGCCUUAAUUUUCGGCUCUGUGUGUUCUUUAUCGAUGGAAAGAAACUCAUCUGAUAACGGUUUUUGUAUUUUCAUUGAUAUAUUAAUUAAACAUACUGAGACGAUGAAGGCAUCAGAUCAAUUCAUAUUUCGGACUUGUAAUUUUGAGAGACAUAAAUAUUUAAAAAAUUAAGAAAAAAAUAACAUGGCAACUAAUAAUGAUAAUAUCUUAUCUACGCCUUCUCUGAUUUAUCAAAUAUUCUCAAGUGGUAUUCAUACAGAUAAUGGUACUAGCUUUACCCAUUUAUAAAAAUUUUGGAAUCGUAUUUUGAUAUAUAUUUUUAUAAUCGCAAAUGAUAGUAAUUUAGAAGCAGAUAUGGGAGUUACUAUAUGUUAUUUUUAAUAGGUGUUACUUUUUACAAUGGCAUAUAGGGUAAUUUAGAGAUUUAGGUGUUAAUUUACAUUAUUUUUCAAAUUAUAGUGUGGAUAAUUCUUUUUAAAAAAUAUUAUAAUAUAUGAUAACUAUGAUUGGUUUACUAGAUUGAUGACUAGAUAUUUUGCGAACGGCUCGUAUUUUUUUGAUUUAUUUCAGAAUUUUACUGGUACUAUUCUUUAUGUGGUAGACAACGUGCCCGUUAGCAGCGAGGUACCAGUGGUGAUUUCGUCAAUCUCGAAUAUUUUACAGCUUAGUUUUUGGGAGGUGCUCAUAGAAGGGUAGGGUUGUUUGCUUGUGUUUGUAGGUGUGAGUGCGCGUGCGUGCAUGUAAGCGUCUACGUUCGUACUAUAUGAUUCAUAAAUAAAGAUGACCGGAUAUUUUUAUUUUUUAACCUCCGUAGGGGAAGCUGGGUCUUGUUUAGAUCCAUAGUGGCUAAGGUGGUGUUUGGAUCCAAAGUUCACCGACUAAAUUUUAGCUUCUAAAAUUUAGCCCCUAAAAUUUAGUUUUGCUGGGGUGUUUGGAUCUAUGGGCUAAAUUUUAGUCAUCAUCAAAAAAUGACUGAUUUGCCCUCCCUCCUCACUCCUACUACCACCACCAGAGCAGCAGCGAGAUCCAAAAUCCGGCGCUCCAGCUCCUCCCGCCUCUCGUCCGCGCGAGCUCGGGCGGCGCCGGAGGCGGCGGGGCUGGAGGAGGCGGGGAGCUCGGGCGGAGGCGGCGCGGCCGGUCGGAGGCGGCGGGCGUGUGGGAGGCGGAGGAGAGAGGAAGUGCGGGAGGGGCAAGGCACGGAGGCCGAGGAGAGAGGAAAGGGGGCAGGGGUGGAAUUUGUGGUCCAGGUUCACUUUUAGCUCCUUUUAGGGCCUCUUUGGGGGCUAAAAAUUAGCUCCAAAUUUUUAGCUAUUGUACACUUUUAGCCCACCUGUUUGGAUCCCAAGAGCUAAUUUUUGGCUAAAAGUGCAGAGCUAAAAAUUAGCCCUUGGAUCCAAACAGGCUCUAAAUUUAGCCAACUAAAUUAAGUUGGUGGAUCCAAGACGGAACCUAAAACUUUAUGCUGCUAGAGGAAGAAAGCAGCUAGUGUGGCUUGGCAGACGAUUAUUAUGGAGCCGGCCAAAAAAGAACCGCACCAUGCAACACGUGAUUGGGUACGGGGGAAGACCUUGACCGCGCAGCCUACGGGAAGUCGUCGGCCCCCACUCACUUAGAGCACUGUGCUGCGCACUCGCUGAGAGAUGGCAUAGCAUGUCGUCCCGAAGGAAAUUCCGAGUCGCACCCCGGGAAAAACGGAUCGCGCCCACGUCGUCCCGAAGGUGGCACAUGUGCUGCAUCAAUGCUGUGUAAUUGAAGGCGCGCGGUUGUUAAGACACUCCGUCCACGGUUACCAGUGUUUUUUAGCGUGUCACACUCCACGAAGAAAAGCUCCGUAGUGGAAGCGAACCGGCCGUCCUGCGCCACGAACCGAUACGUUCCCCCCUAGAGGCUUUGCAUUGCAGGUCCGCCCUCCGCCGCCCGGCCCAAUUGGAUUUCCAGCUAUGGGGCUUUCGUUGCGCAGGUUCCUCACUUCACUUGUUUGAUUCUUUUGCCCGAUAGGUUCUUGUUUCCUUGACAUGGUAGUUGAUGACCCGUAUGUUUUCUUUCCCGCACAGAUUUACCCCUGCUGGGUAGCAGUGGCACAUUUUUCUUGUAAUGGCAUGAUGAUAAGAUGUUGAUCUAAACCUUUUUAUACACGGAGGAAAACAUCCUGAUUCGAAGGAACCAUUUAACCACACCUUCGUCCUGCGCCGCUUGCCGUCCGCCCUGCGUCGCCCCACCCGGUUUCCAGCUACGGGGGCUUUCGUCAAGCAGGUGAUUCUUUAGCUCCAUCUCUGGUUCCUCCACUUCUUUGAUUCUUUGGGGCGAUAGCUUCUUGUUUCCUUGCCAUGGUGAUGGUAGUAUAUAUAGUAUAUGCUGAUGCCUGGUGAACAAGAACAACCUUUAAUAUAUGCUGAAAAGACAGCAUCCAGCUAGAUUGAUUUCAGUAUUGAUAAGCCGGCCAUCUUGUUUUUCGAGAAAUAAUUUGGGAUGCCAUCUAAUUCGAAUCAGCUAGUAGUUUUAUCCCCAGUAGCAAGGAUCUGGGGUUACUAUAUUUGGUUGAUUUUGCGUUCAGUUAACAUGAGAAUUUGAUGUUCAAACAUUUGAUGACCAUUAUGGUUUUCUUAUUUCAACCAGUAGUAGAUGUGAAGUUUCAACCGAGAGGGAAGUCUUUGCUUCAGAACCUGCUGUGAACACUGUAUAUAGAACAAAUUAACAAGAUGGAGUUGGUUGUGGGCGCUUCAGAAGCCACCAUGAAGUCUCUGCUUGGCAAGCUGGGUGGCCUUCUCGCCCAGGAGUAUGCUCUGGUCAGGGGCGUCCGUGGUGACGUCCAGUACAUUUACAAUGAGCUGGCCACCAUGCAGGCCUUCCUCCGCGACCUUAGCUCUGCCCCGGAGGAGCAGGGCCAUCGAAUGAAGGACUGGAUGAAGCAGAUCCGUGACAUGGCCUACGACUGCGAGGACUGCAUAGAUGACUAUGCCCACCGCCUCCCUAAUGACUCCAUCAGUGAUGUCAAAUGUGCCUUCAUAGUCAGAACCAUAUAUGAAGUCUGGACAUGGUGGCCUCGCCGUGAAAUUGCUUCCAACAUUGCUGACCUCAAGAUCCGGGCACAACAGAUUGCCGAACGACGUAACAGAUAUGGAGUUGACAACCCAUCAAGCAACUGCAAUGGCAACAGUUCCGGACCCCGUGCCGCUACGUAUGACAUUGCGGAGCAUCAGGUCGCCAGCCGUCAGCUCAUCGGUAUGAAGGAGCCUGUGGGUGUGAUGGCUGACAUGAACAAGCUUGAGGACUGGAUUGCUAGAUCUGAUAAGGAGCAUGGUGUUCUGUCCAUAAUCGGAUUCGGCGGUGUGGGGAAGACCACCAUUGCCACAGCAUUGUUCCGGAAAGUAAGUAAUAAAUUUGACUGCCGUGCUUGGGUUAAUGUGUCCCAGAACUACGACAAAGAGGCAGUCCUAAGGAGUAUUCUGAAACAAGUCAUGCCACAAGACAAAGAUCAGAUUUCUCCGAAAAAACAAGACGGAGAUCAGGAGGCACUGCAAACCACAUGGGGGGAAAGCUUGGAGAAGAAGGACCUAGCAGCACAGGUUAUGAACACAUUAAAGCGAGCUGUGGGGCACAAACAGCAAGGCAAUGAUGCGAGCUCUGAUGAAAAGCAGAUGAAGAUUGAAACAAUGUACGGUGAUGAACUCGUCAACAAAGUGAAAGGACACCUGGAGAAAAAGAGGUACAUUUUAAAAGAUUAUUUCUUGUUUAUUGAUUACUAGAUCUGUUCACCGGUUUAGUCAACGUCAGCUAGCUAGAGGGAAUUAAUACAUGAUUUAUGAAAUCAUUGAAAGAUCAACAAUAAACAUCGAUCAGUUAACUAAUGGCCAGACGCUUUGCUAUCUUUUUAGAAUUUAUAGUAUUUCUGAUAAGGCUAAUCUCAAAGGGAGUGUCAUGGAAGUUUCAUGGGCAUAAAAUCCCAUGCCACAUCAACAAAACUGCUGACUUGUCAGGAUAAUUAUGAGGAGAGAGGAUAGGGGAGUUUCAUCCCAUGAAACCCACCUAGCAUUGUUACAAGUCCCGUGAAACCCAAUGAAACUUGCAUUGAGCAUGUUAAUCUAUGAAACUGUAUAAUGAGAAUGACAAUUUCAUUUUGUUGGAAACUAACAUGGCACUCUUGGUAACAGUGUGAUGAAACCAUGUAUUGUGACUGGCCUAACACAAACAGCGACCUUAAAGAAAAUUGUCAUCCAAUGGUAAUAACUUGGGAGGGCCUGUUGAGAAAUCGACAUCCCAAACCUUGACACCAACUCCCUAGAAGUGGCACCAAAGUGGUGUGACACCACUUCUUAUGUGGACCUUACACCCACACUACUCUGAGGAAACCUUCACACCGACACCAACACGGGAGACCAACUCUCUACAAGGGAACCCGAAUCUUUUAUUUACCUACUCAUAACUUGAUACAACACUUACUUUUACACUCUUCAUGUGGCUACCAUACCAUGACACCACUACACUACAUAGCAACCUUGCCAUCUCUUCACAUAUGACUCACAUGCCACUCUAUGCCAUGGUAUUGUUGGGAUACGAGGUAGGCUACGCUAGCGCAAAACAAAAUUUUUCUACCGCGUAAACUAGGAAAACUGUCGUAUAUGGAUCACGGGAUUACCACUCGACGCACUGGUGCGGAAGAUGUAGAAUCACGUUGGGGUAGCGAAGUCAAUUAGCGUAGUCGAACACGUAGUCGAUCACAUCGACGUCGAGCAGCUCCUCAGCAGCUCGUCCACGUACAGUGAGGUCCUCCUCGUGCCACGGAUGGUCAUCGGCGGCUCGUCGUGGCUCGUCAGCGGCUCGUCCAAGUGUUGCAAGUGCAACACCUGUAAGGUAUCCACACAUGCAGGGAGAAAGCGUCGCAAGCCGGACUGCUAGGUCCGCGAGUUGCAACGAGAUGAGGGCGUGGGAGGUACGGCAGCUGUGGUUCGGCCAAAAGGGAUGAACCCUAGGGCGCCCCCCUACCCCUCUAUAUAUAGGGGUCCCUGACAGGCCUCUAAGUCCAAGCCCCAUUAGUACUCCUAAACCUAGUCCAAUUCAGAUCAUAUUCGAAUUGGGCUUCCAGCCCUUUUAAGUGUGUGACCCUAUAGGUUCAUAUGCGUAUGGACAUGGCCCGAGUACUCUUACUCGGCCAAUAGUUAGUAGCGGCCUCUAGCAAGACGUGCUAACUCCUAUACGCACACGAAGAUCAUAUCAGACAAACCAUCACAACAUCACGCACAUGUUAUUCCCUUUGCCUCAUGAUAUUUGGUCUAGUUCCAAGCGGACCACUCUUUCUCAAUGCUGUGAUUUGGAAUCCCCUUCUAGGUUAACUCUUAACCUCAUGUAGCAUGGCCAUGCAUUUCCGAAUUCUAUCACUUGAGGGGCCCAGAGAUAUCUCUCUCAAAUAGAGAGGGGCAAAUUCCAUCUUGACUGACCAUGCCUCACAGCAUGCUUCUUGACAAACCCGAAAGUUACUUUUGUGACUACCCAGUUACGGUGUAGCGUUUGAUAGCCCCUAAGUAAGUCGAUCCACAUCUUGAGUACAUGCGACAAUCUAAGGACAAAGCGUACACGUUGUGUAAAGAGGGAACUAUGUAACUCGUGUUGGGUCAGUCCUAGCACAUGUCUCUACACGUGCCCACAUCAUUAGUUUGACAUGUCCAUGUUCAUGACUUGUGAAACAUAGUCAUCAACUAAUACAUGUAGUAGUCUAAUAUUCAUGUGUGUCCUCACAUGAACUCCGACUAGGGACAACUUUAGAAUAACCAUACAAUUUCACAUACAAUUCACAUAAUUACAAAUCAAUUCAACUAGCUUUUAAUGGAUAUUCAGGGAACAAAAUAUAAAUCAUGGAUACAAAUGAAAUAUCAUCAUUUCUAUAAUUGCCUCUAGGGCAUACCUCUAACAGAUAUGGCUAGGAUGGAGGGGACCACCUCUAUUUAUAGGUGCUCAUGGUCCUUGUGGUGUUGCCAUGUGGCAACUUCCACACUCUUCUUUACAAAUAUCUAACUCUAGAACUUUCUCUCAUCCUUAUCUAGUUUCUUAUAUUUCUACCAUACUAAAAUAUCUAGUUCUAGAGUAUUCUACACUUCACCUUGAAGCAUGACAACUAUGGCUCAUGCAUUCUCUCCAAGUUUCUAGAACCUUCUUACCUUGCCAUGAUCUUAUCCUUAUACAUGGCAAAGUUAGUCUCUUAAGAUCUCAAUCUUCUAGAAUGUUCCAAGUAUGCAUUGCAUAUUUCAACAGGGCCCACUAAACUAAUGGCCAGAUGCUUUGCUAUCAUGUUAGAACUUAUAGUAUUUCUCUCCUUUCCUACUGCAUCUCGAGGAUUAAUGUGGACAAAAAAAUCUAAGAGCCUCCAAUGGGUAAUACCCAAAUAACCUGGUAUACCAUGCAAGCUUGAAACAGCUGUGGGAAGACUGGCCUAUGGUGGUGGCACUAAGGUGGUGGCAGCUUGGCAUAGGAGCUAGUGACAAGGAGUGGUGGACUACAGAGGUAGGGCAAGAGAGAAAGAGACAACUAUAAACUUCUUCUUAGUGAUUUCUGUACAAUCUAUGAAAUAAGCAAUAAAACUAAGCAGCUACAUAGACAGUCGUGAACAAGAUAAAUGAAAUGUUCUUCCCAAGGAUCAAGGUUCACUUACGUACACUCUCACUACACAAAUGGAUAUGCUCUAAGUGUUGUGCAGUAGCUACGUACUAGCUAGCUCUGCCUUUUCCCACUCUCCUACUAUCAGUGGCAUGAGGAACGACAAUGAUUAAGCUUUUCACCGUGGCUACCAUUAAGACCGCUUAAGUUCAUAUGACAAUGCAAACAUGUGAAAUAAGAACACACUGAUAUAGAACUUAAUAGAAUCAAUGAUCAUAAUCACAAGUGUAUGUAGCAGUAAAAUAUAGAGAUCCCCCUUUCAUCCCAGGGUAGUUUUGCAAAAUUGCAAACCCUCUUUCCAUAGACAACCAAGAUAUGUGCUAUUAGAAUCUAUGUCGAUCAGGACUUCAUGUGGACGAAUUGUUUUGGGAACACAAGAUAUAUGACAAGGGAAGCAAAGGGGCAUGUAGCCUAGUGGUUGCAGAGGCCUUAAAAAAAGUCACUCGCUGGUUCCCUUCAUCGACAUGGGCGAACUAACCUGUGGUGGGCGGGUCCUCGUGUAAGGGGCUGGUCGUGUGGGUUGGGCCUCAAAGCAUGUGUCAAGGCUUGAACCACAGGGGGUGGCAUCCCCAUGUAUGAGGGGGCCAACUUUCGUCACUUUUCUCGGCCGGGCUCCGGUUAAGCUCUUCUUAAUGUAAUACAGUCCGGUUAUAUAAUGUCAAGGGCUUUCAUCUUUGGGUUUGGGUACUUGAAUUGGGCUUUGGGUUUGCCAACCAACAGGGACUUGGGACAAUUGGCCUGACCCCUAUAUGGGUCUUCUUGUGCUCAUCUUCCUCAUGUAGGCUCCUAGAAAUGUUCCAAGUGCAGGCCCAAAUCAAGAUUUGUACAAAAACUCCCAAUAUAUGUUGUAUUUUAGGCGCCAAGUGGCCUGAUAGUAUAUGGAUUAGUCCAAAAAUACUGCUAAAUGAGUACUAAAAGUUUCCAUUAUCAAAAGUUCCCCUUAUUAAUGAGGGGCAACAACACUUCCCCCAUCAGUUUUCUGAUUUUUGUUCUCCCUUUUUUCUUUCAAAGGCAAACUCUAUUGUGGCCAAUGUGCAUGAUCUCUUCAGGACCAAUAUAGUUCACAUUGCUCCUCAAGCUUCUCUAUCUUAUAUUUCAGGAUCUCAGCAUGACCUUUGUUAUUAUGUGCAUUCAACUUCCAUUUUCCAAAUUCCUAUAGGGGUUGCUUUGUGCAUUUUAUUCUCUUCAUGAGGUCUCCCAAAAACAAAAUCUACUUCAAUCCCAAAUGUCAGUUGCCACCUCUUGAUAUGGCAUCACCCAUGUUCCCUAACCUAGCCUCCAUCAUCAACUUCCAUGCAUUAUCCACAAUUUUUCCACAGUUCCGUGUACCCAGCCAACCUCAAAGCGGAAGGACAACCUCCCUUAAAAUUAUCUUGAUCAUCUCCUCUUCCACGUCUAUAAUCUGGAUAAUUGAUUAAUUUUUCUAUGAUCUGAGUGCCUCGAGACACCGUUGACCACUCGGAAAUCGGGACCUCCAUGUAGAAUGAACAAUGGCUUGA
Molecule: long non-coding RNA, 56784 nt
Filed under: Setaria viridis
Lineage: Eukaryota; Viridiplantae; Streptophyta; Magnoliopsida; Poales; Poaceae
Description: long non-coding RNA (SVIR_LNC010017)
Source: RNAcentral